UUGUUUUGAGUUGUGGUAUUCGAGUUGCUUCAAAGUUAAAUGUUGAUUCCAUACCUUCCCCAAAUGGUGUUCUCAUACUCCGAUGUGAAUACCAAUCCUUCUUGAUCAUCAAGAGUGUCAUGUCAAUCAUUUUCACCCGGCGUGUUUUUUUUUCUCUUCAAGUGGAUCCGAUCUUUUCAAUAUCCGCAAGAUUCAAUCUCAGCUUUCUCAACGGUGUUCGUUUCAUCCAUCCCAAGUUGCCUUUGUUUUUCCCGCCCUCCCUCCCUUGUUUUCUUCGAGGACUCGGAAUUCUUAAUCAAGUAUCCUUUUAUUCAUAUGAAGUCUCUCCAUUCUUUUCCGGCAAUGUUCUUAUCCGGUGAUUCUCAGGAAGAUGCUAACGGAGCAUCUAGUUCAUCAUUCUUCGUUCUCUUUUAUCUGAUGAAUUCAAAUCAAGCUUUAGUGUUGAUCAUAUCCUUUUUUCCUCGUUUCAAAUACCUUCUCAUACCGGUGCACCUCAUAUUCAUUCACUUCUCGCUAUUUAAUUGUUCCGGAGUGCCCAAGAUAUCUCGAAGAUUCGUGUUUUCCACUCUGCAUUCAUUCAAGAUCUUCGAGGUUGUUAUCUCACUCAAGUCAUUUAAUUCAACCGGUACAAUCUCUCCUUUAAUCUUUUCAACGGUGUUUCUUUGAGUGGGCCCUAACCCACAGGUCUUUUCCCAGGAUCUUACCUGACUCUUCUUAUUUUUCCCGGAGGUAUUCGCAAUUUCUUUUCAAAGUUUGACGUAAGAAUGAAUUAUCAUAAGUCUUAUGUUUUUCUCCAAGAUCGUCCAAUUAUUUUCAUCGUUGGCUCAACCUCUCCUCUUUUAAUCAUUCCGGAGUGUCUCAAUAAUUCAUGGUGGUGUCUCUCAUCGUCAUUCUUUAUAUUUGAAGACCGAAGAAGAUUUUUCUCUCAAUCUUGCUCCUUUCUCUUCAAGAUUCGUGAUGCUAGCUUACUGCCAUCCUCUCAUAAUUGUUUUGAUUGUGAGUAUUCUUUUCACCUAUCCAAAGCAAUUCAAGAGUCUUCUCAGUUUGUUAUCCGGAGUCCGUCAAUUCAGGUUUAUUCAUUCUCAGUUGUCAGUUAUCAUUCUCCUAUCUUACCGGUGCUUCGUUCAAGUAAUCUUUAAUCAGUUCGUGAUCCCUUCGUUCUCUUCUAUCUAAAUUCUCUCAAGCACCUUCGUUCAUUUGCUAAUUCUUACCGGUGAUUCACCGCUACUUCGAUCAUUUUCAAUUCUUACGGUGGUUCUUUCAAGAUCUCUCUUCCUUGUUUAUAUAGCAAUUUAUUCGUUAUUUCAAUUCUACCGGUGGUUCGUUGAAGACCUUCUCAAAUUUUGAUAUAUCUCGCUUAAUCCUUUCUACGAGAAUAAGUAGUAUGCCAAUUCCAUUGCUUGUCAUCAAUUUAAUUGGUGAAGGAUACGCAUAAUGUAAUUCUUAUUCUUGUUUCAUCGAGUUUAUUCAAUUCCUGUUUUCCGGAGUGGCUCAUCAUACUUAUUCUUGGUUUCAAGUGCUCAUCAUUCUUUCCCGGAGUUCCAAGCUCUAAUUAUCAUGAAGAUCCAUCUAAAUCUUUACAAGGUUUUAGCUUGUGUUUUCAGCUUCUCUUCCUUUCCGUUUGAUCAUUCUUUUGUUUACCGGAGUUCUUCAUGGAGGUUCUACAUGAUGGUUCACCAAUGAUUUAAUUCCUUCUCAAAGUUUUUCAUCGAGAUUCGUUUCUAAGGAGUUCAAGCAUUCUUCAUCUUGCAAUCCGGAGUGCAAUUCUUUCUACCGUAUCAUUUAGGGUGGUGCUAUGUCAUUCUUCAUAAUUUGAGUUCAUGUUUCAUGAUUCACAUGUUGUCAAGAAUGAGAUAUCUUAAAUCCAUCAAUCGCGUCAUUGGAGUUAUGUUGGGUUAUAUUUCACCUAAAGCCUUCCCUAAGGAUUGUUGCUAUCUAUGGUGUUUAUAAAUGAUCCAAGUUCUUCAUUUAUCCUCCCGAUGAAAUAAGUUUUCUCGUCUCCUUAGUCAUAUCAAUCCAACUCUUUUUCCCGUGAGUGGCAGGUUGUCACCUCAUAAUUUGAGAUGUAUUCCAUAAGACCAUAUCAAGCUUAUUCUUUUCGUUGUUGGUUUUCCAACAACUCCUUUCUAGCUUUUGUUGUAAGCGUGCUCCCUCGAGUUCUGUUUCCCUUCGUUCAUCCCAUUCCAUUCUUACUUUUGUUCCGGAGGCGUUGUGACGUUGCUCUUUUCAGCCCAUCUUUUCGUUUUGUCAGGAUCGUGUUCUUUUCUUGGUUUACCCAUUUAACCGGAGUGUUGUGCCCUUUUACUCAAGUCCUUUUCAUCCUAUCAAGUCUUGCAUCACUUCUCAACCAGAGUGCUACCCGAAUCGGUUCUUUCUUUUCCUCUUUUCCUAACGGAGUGUUUGUCAACUUUGUUCAUCUCCGUUGUUUUCUUUUCUCGAAAUGGCUUAACCUUUUCAAGGUUCUUUGGUUUCACUCGUUUGUCAAAGAAGCAACUUAGUUUUACCUUUUCUCUUCCUCUUCUGUUUGCCCUCUGGUGCCGUUUUAGAUCUCGGGACGAGAUCCUCUCGUAGUGGUGGAGUGUUGUAACACCCCAAGACCGGAGCUUCAGAUGCCUUCCAUGUUUUCCGAGUUUUGUCGGGUGAUUUGUUUUGUCUGUUGCAUUUCAUCUUUGCAUCAUGUUCAUUGCAUCAUGUCAUCAUGCCAUCCUUUGCCCGAUGCAUCAUAUUAUAGCUUUGUGCCAUCCAUGCUGUUUCAAAGUCCCUCAUGUGCAUUUGCCCCUACUUUAUGUUUGUGGAAUGCUCCAUGUAUGAUCUUGCAUCAUCUCCUUCUCCUUCCUUCUUGUUUCUUUCAUUUUGGCAAGUGACCUUUUCCCCUCCUCGAGAAAUGUUCUUUCUUUUCCUGAUGCUAGUUCACCAUGCCUAAACCCUCUCUGUCAAAUUUCAGAUCAUUUGAAGUUGUUUUGGUUGGGUUCAAAAAUGGUUCAAGUUUGAAUUUUAAUUCAAACUUGAAUUAUUUUUCUGUCAUUAAAAAUUCCCAAACCACUUUUAUUAAAUCGGGCAUAUUUCUUGGUUUCCAGAAAUAUGUCCCUUUCUCCUCACAUCCAUUCCGAACCCUCUGUAUUUUUUUUCUAUUUCUGUUUACGCGAUAAAUAGAAAAGAGAAAAAUCAGAGUAGAGAGGGAGAGAAGAAGCCCAGCCUCUCAGGCCUGCCAGGCCUUCCCUUUGCCUUAAGGCCCGGCUGACCCACUCCUCUCUACUGGGUCGCCCCCAAGCCCACCUAACCCUUGCCUGCAGCCCACCUAUUCCCGUCUAACCCUAGUUGCCAGGUGUGCCCAAUCUCCACUCCCUCGCGCACCCCCCUCCUCUCGUUUUUCCCUCGCGCCGCCAGGAGGUAGCGACGCUCGAUCCCCUCGUCUCUCUUCUCCCCUCGCGCCGCAGGAGACACCAUCUCCCGAUCCCCAUCUCUCCCCUUCGUCCUCCUCUGGUGCCACCCCUCUCCCUCACUCCCUCGACAGCGCCGUCCUCCCAGUGCCACCCCUGGCCCGCUGAUGUGCCGCCACUCCACCGCAACCGUGCCCUGCGGCUGCUGCUCUUCUACACGCCGCCGUCCGCGACCAGCAGGAGGCCGCUGCUCGCCUCACCUCCUGCCUCCUGCGCGCCUCCUCCUCGCGAAGUCCCCGUCGCCGGGCACUCGAGGAGAGGAGCUCCUCAAGCGCCCGCGCCUGCAGUCGUCCUUCCUCUGUGCCCAGCAGGAGCCCCGCCAGCUCCCAUCGCCCCCGUCUGCGCCCCUCGCGGCUCUGCCUCACCAUGGAGCUCCGCCACCCAUCUCUCUUCCUGUAGCGCGCUGUCGCGUGGACGCUCACCCCUGACCAGCGUCGUUACUCCUCUUGGUCCGUCCUCCUUGGUGUGGAGCAGCACCAUCACGGCGCCCUGCCUCCUUGUCCACCGUGUGCUCCGUCGCCCACGGCCGAGCACCUCAAGACGAAGCCCUUUUUUCGUUGAUGCGAACGGUUAUACGAACAUGACCCAGAUUCGAAACGCAAGACGAUGCCUCCGUUGCACCCAUGCCGAGCAGGAGUAUUUUGGAUUCGUCAAGUACGACUACAUAUCCGGGAUGCGUCAAGUACCCCACCGUCAAGACCGAGACUGCCCGGAGACCACGAAUCCGUGAGGUUCCACUACCGUCGUCGUGGAUCCGACAAGUUCACGAGUACCUCUACCUCCCACGACGACCUUGUACAACUACUGUCGCAAGAACCGAGACCGGCAAGUCCGAAGAACCAAGUACCAUGACGCCAAGUACCCCUUCGGAUCGCCAAGGUGGAUCGCGAACAUUGACGAGGUUCCGAUAAGACCGUCGACGUGUACGACCUACUUCAAGAAUAUGUACCACUACCGCCGCUCGAACGUUUACAGAACAUGUACUGUCGAUCCUCGAAGAACCGUGGACGGCAAGUUCCUUGUUGACCCCGAACACCUAUGGAGUGUGAACAUCUACGAAGCGAGAACGACUACUUCCACUACCUUCGUCGCGAGAACGCCUACUUCCCUCUACGAACGAGAACCGUCCCCUUUGCACGCUCCGAAGGUAUAACCCUGAGACAACGUCCGUGAACGAAUGCUUGCGAUGUUUGAGAUGCUCGUGGUUGCACCAUGUCCAAUUUGUCACUUGUUUCCUUGUCAUCGACUCAUGGGACACCCGGUAUCCGGGAGCGCCCCGCCAAUCUUUUGCACGCAUCCGCACACUUCUCCUUUGCAUCGGUAUCUCAAUCGAGGCACCGGAACCGGAACGUUGCCGUGGCACCAUUUUCAUUAUCGUUGCCGUGGCACCCCUUUCCUUUCCACCACAUUGACAAAUGCUUCAUAAUGCUCUUAUCAAGUCUUAAUAAAUAUUGCAUAAACUUGUUCAUGGCAUCCGCAUCAUGAUAACAACAAUUAAAAUGUUUAAAUUAUUGUUGCACCAAAUUGCUAAAUGCAUAUGGGGAUUUACCGGAAUUGUUGUUUGUUAUUUCCGGCCUCAUUUAAACUUGCCUAAAUGUUUAGUUUACUCAUGUUUCAUCUCUUGCCAUGUUUAACAACAUUUAAUAUUGUUGGAUACAUAAACGAGAUCGAACUAAAUGACUUGAAUGUGGUGUUUCGUCAAUAUGCAGCGGAGUUGCAUAUUGAGCCCCACUUAAUUUGUAGGAUUGUUUGUGCACUUUGCCAUGCCAUGCAUACUUAAACCGGACAUGCAUCAUACUUGAUUGUGCAUCAUGCCAUGAUUAUGUGAUGGUUGUUUACUUUGUUGUUUGCUUCUUUCCGGUGUUGCUUCUUCGGAUUAGUUCCGAUAACGUCGUGUUUGUGAGGACCCGUUUGUCUACGUCCGUUUGUCUUCUUCAUGGACUCGUUCUUCUUCCUUGCGGGAUUUCAGGCAAGAUGACCAUACCCUCGAAAUCACUUCUAUCUUUGCUUGCUAGAUGCUUGCUCUUUUGCUAUGCCUAUGCUGCGAUACCUACCACUUGCUUAUCAUGCCUCCCAUAUUGUUAAACCAAGCCUCUAACCCACCUUGUCCUAGCAAACCGUUGAUUGGCUAUGUUACCGCUUUGCUCAGCCCCUCUUAUAACGUUGUUAGUUGCAGGUGAAGAUUGAAGUUUGUUCCUUGUUGGAACAGGGAGAUGUUGUUCCUUGUUGGAACAUGUUUACUUGUUGGGAUAUCACAUUAUAUCUUAUUUAAUUAAUGCAUCUAUAUACUUGGUAAAGGGUGGAAGGCUCGGUCUUAUGCUUAGUGUUUUGUUCCACCCUUGCCGCCCUAGUUUCCGUCAUAUCGGUGUUAUGUUCCCGGAUUUUGCGUUCCUUACGCGGUUGGGUUAUAAUGGGAACCCCUUGACAGUUCGCUUUGAAUAAAACUCCUCCAGCAAGGCCCAACCUUGGUUUUACCAUUCGCCACCUAGCCUCUUUUUCCCUUGGGUUAGGCCAGCCCAAGGGUCAUCUUUAUUUUAANNNNNNNNNNNNNNNNNNNNNNNNNNNNNNNNNNNNNNNNNNNNNNNNNNNNNNNNNNNNNNUAUCGGUGUUAUGUUCCCGGAUUUUGCGUUCCUUACGUGGUUGGGUUAUAAUGGGAACCCCUUGACAGUUCGCUUUGAAUAAAACUCCUCCAGCAAGGCCCAACCUUGGUUUUACCAUUCGCCACCUAGCCUCUUUUUCCCUUGGGUUAGGCCAGCCCAAGGGUCAUCUUUAUUUUAACCCCCCCCCCCCCCGGGGCCAGUGCUUGUCUAAGUGUUGGUCCGAACUGAGUAGACUGCGGGGCCACCUCGGGGAAACUUGAGGGCUGGUUUUACUCAUAGGAUGUCUCAUCCGGUGUUGCCCUGAGAACGAGAUAUGUGCAGCUCCCAUCAGGAUGUCGGCGCAUCGGGCGGCUUUGCUGGACUUGUUUUACCAUUGUCGAGGAUGUCUUGUAGAACCGGGAUACCGAGUCUGAUCGGAAUGNNNNNNNNNNCACCUCGAGGAAACUUGAGGGUUGGUUUUAGUUGUACGUAGUGUUCAUCCGGUGUUGCCCUGAGAACGAGAUAUGUGCAGCUCCCAUCAGGAUGUCGGCGCAUCGGCCGGUCUUGUUGGACUUGUUUUACAAUUGUCGAGGAUGUCUGGUAGAACCGGGAUACCGAGUCUGAUCGGAAUGUCUCGGGAGGAGGUCUAUUCCUUCGUUGACCGUGAGAGCUUGUCAUGGGCUAAGUUGGGACACCCCUGCAGGGUUUUGAACUUUCAAAAGUCGUGCCCGCGGUUAUGGGCAGAUGGGAAUUUGUUAAUGUCUGGUUGUAGAAAACCUGAAGUUGACCUUAAUUAAAAUGCAUCAACCGCGUGUGUAACCGUGAUGGUCUCUUUUCGGCGGAGUCCGGGAAGUGAACAUGGUGUUGGAGUUAUGCUUGACGUAGGUUGUUCUAGGAUCACUUCUUGAUCAUAGUUUCUCGACCGUGCUUUGCCUUCUCUUCUCGCUCUCAUUUGCGUAUGUUAGCCACCAUAUAUGCUAGUCGCUUGCUGCAGCUCCACCUUAUACCUUUUACCUUACCCAUAAGCUUAAAUAGUCUUGAUCGCGAGGGUGUGAGAUUGCUGAGUCCCCGUGGCUCACAGAUACUUCCAAAACCAGCUUGCAGGUGCCGAUGAGUCCAUGCAGAUGAUGCAACCAAGCUCAGGAGGAGCUCGAUGAAGACUUUGUCCGUUGUGUUGUUUCAUUCUAGUUGAUCAGUAGUGGAGCCCAGUUGGGGUCGAUCGGGGACCUUGUCGCAUUUGGGGUUCUUCUUUUAUUUUGGUUCCGUAGUCGGACCUUGAUUGUAUUUGGAUGAUGUAAUGCUUUAUUCAUGUAUUGUGUGAGGUGGCGAUUGUAAGCCAACUAUGUAUCUCUUUCCCUUAUGUGUUACAUGGGUUGUGUGAAGAUUACCUCACUUGCGACAUUGCUUUCAAUGCGGUUAUGCCUCUAAGUCGUGCUUCGACACGUGGGAGAUAUAGCCGCAUCGAGGGCGUUACACAUACCUUGAUAAAGUUUUGAAGAAGUUCAAAAUGGACCAGUCAAAGAAAGGGUUCGUGCCUAUGUUGCAAGGUGUGAAGUUGAGUCAGACUCAAUGCCCGACCACUGCAGAGGAUAGAGAGAAAAUGAAAGUCAUUCCCUAUGCCUCAGCCAUAGGUUCUAUCAUGUAUACAAUGUUGUGUACCAGACCUGAUGUGUGCCUUGCUAUUAGUUUAGCAGGGAGGUACCAAAGUAAUUCAGGAGUGGAUCACUGGACAGCGGUCAAGAGCAUCCUGAAAUACCUGAAAAGGACUAAGGAUAUGUUUCUCGUUUAUGGAGGUGACAAAGAGCUCAUCGUAAACGGUUACGUUGAUGCAAGCUUUGACACUGAUCCGGAUGACUCUAAGUCACAAACUAGAUACAUAUUUAUAUUGAAUGGUGGAGCUAUCAGUUGGUGCAGUUCCAAGUAGAGCAUUGUGGCGGGAUCUACGUGUGAAGCGGAGUACAUAGCUGCUUCGGAAGCAGCAAAUGAAGGAGUCUGGAUGAAGUAGUUCAUAUCCGAUCUAGGUGUAAUACCUAGUGCAUCAGGUCCAAUGAAAAUCUUUUGUGACAAUAUUGGAGAAAUUUCCUUGGCGAAGGAAUCCAGAUUUCACAAGAGAACGAAACACGUCAAGAGACGCUUCAAUUCCAUCCGCGAUCAAGUCAAGGAGGGAGACAUAGAGAUUUGCAAGAUACAUACGGAUUUGAAUGUUGCAGACCCGUUGACUAAGCCUGCCUCACAAGAAAAACAUGAUCAACACCAAGACUCCAUCGGUGUUAGAAUCAUUACCAUGUAAUCUAGAUUAUUGACUCCAGUGCAAGUGGGAGACUGAAGGAAAUAUGCCCUAGAGGCAAUAAUAAAGUUGUUAUUUAUACUUCCUUAUAUCAUGAUAAAUGUUUAUUAUUCAUGCUAGAAUUGUAUUAAUCGGAAACUUAGUACAUGUGUGAAUACAUAGAGAAACAAAGUGUCCCUAGUAUGCCUCUUGUAGACUAGCUCAUUAAUCAAAGAUGGUCAAGUUUCCUGACCACAGACAUGUGUUGUCAUUUGAUGAACGGGAUCACAUCAUUAGAGAAUGAUGUGAUGGACAAGACCCAUCUGUUAGCUUAGCAUAAUGAUCAUUUAGUUUUAUUGCUAUUGCUUUCAUCAUGACUUAUACAUGUUCCUCUGACUAUGAGAUUAUGCAAUUCCCAAAUACCAGAGGAACACCUUGUGUGCUAUCAAACAUCACAACAUAACUGCGUGAUUAUAAAGAUGCUCUAUAGAUAUCUCCGAUGGUAUUUGAUUGAGUUGGCAUAGAUCGAGAUUAGGAUUUGUCACUCCGUGUAUCGCAGAGGUAUCUCUGGGCCCUCUCGGUAAUGCACAUCACUAUGAGCCUUGCAAGCAAUGUGUCUAAAGAUUUAGUCACGGGAUGAUGCAUUAUGGAAUGAGUAAAGAGACUUGCCGGUAACGAGAUUGAAAUAGGUAUGAUGAUACCGACGAUCGAAUCUCGAGUAAGUAACAUACCGAUGAUAAAGGGAACAACGUAUGUUGUUAUGCGGUUUGACCGAUAAAGAUCUUCGUAGAAUAUGUAGGAGCCAAUAUGAGCAUCCAGGUUCCGCUAUUGGUUAUUGAUCGGAGAUGUGUCUCGGUCAUGUCUACAUAGUUCUCGAACCCAUAGGGUCCGCACGCUUAAUGUUCAAUGACGAUUUGUAUUAUGAGUUAUGUGAUUUGAUGAACUGAAAUUUGUCCGAAGUCCCGGAUGAGAUCACGGACAUGGCGAGGAGUCUCGAAAUGGUCGAGACAUAAAGAUUGAUAUAUUGAAAGGUUAUGUUUGGACACCGGAAUGAUUUCGGAAAGGUUCGGGCAUUUUCUGGAGUACUAGGAGUUACCGGACCCCCACCCCCCGAGAGUUAAUGGGCCUUCAUGGGCCCUAGUGGAGAGAGGAGGCGUCGGCCAGGUGGUGGCGCGCCCCCCCAAGCCCGAACCGAAUUGGACUAGGGUUGGGGGGGGCAGCCCCCUUUCCUUCUCUCCUCUUCCUCGUUCCCUCCUUCUCUUAGUGGGAAUAGGAAAGGGGGGCCGAAUCCUACUUGGACCGGAGUCCAAGUAGGACUCCCCCCCUUGGCACGCCCCCUCUAGGGCGGCCUCCUCUUCCCCCCUCCUUUAUAUACGUGGGAGGGGGGCACCCCAAAGGCACACCAAGUCUUCUCUUAGUCGUGUGCGGUGCCCUCCUCCACAGUUACACGCCUCGGUCAUAUCGUCGUAGUGCUUAGGCGAAGCCCUGCACCGGUAACUUCAUCAUCACCAUCGCCACGCCAUUGUGCUGACAGAACUCUCCCUCGUCCUCAACUGGAUCAAGAGAUCGAGGGACGUCAUCAAGCUAAACGUGUGCUGAACGCGGAGGUGCCGUACGUUCAGUGCUUGGGCCGGUUGGAUCGCGAAGAUGUUCGACUACAUCAACCGUGUUACUGAACGCUUCCGCUUUCGGUCUACGAGGGUACGUGGACACACUCUCCCCACUCGUUGCUAUACUUCUCCUAGAUAGAUUUUGCUUGAUCGUAGAAUUUUUUUUGAAAUACUACGUUCCCCAACAAAUCCACAUUCAUAGGUCUCCUUCGUAGCUUUUCCAAUUCUUUUUAAGUUUUUUAAUUCUCUGUUUCGGUCCUCUCAAAGUCUCCCUGUCCUAAUUAUGCAAAUCUGCCUGUACCGCUCGAGUACGAUCAGCGAGGCUUGGCCCAAUACCCAUUUUUUUUUUGCCUUUUCCCAUGUUGUACGGAUAGUUUCUAUAAUCAUCUCCUCUUUGAGCCAUCGUGCUUCAAACUGUCUCACUAGUCCCCUUGGGCUAUUAAAAAUAUUGCUGUCAUAAUACUCUAUAUCCAGGACGAGUGGGCGAUGAUCGGAAUGAACAUGUUCCUCGUUAAUAAUUGCAGCCUGAGGGAAUUUAUUCGCUCAUUCCACAUUGCACACCGCAUGGUCAAGCCUCUCCCUAGUAUCGCCUCUCCUCCAAGUGAAAGGAUCACCAAUGCAUCCCAUAUCUUCAAGACCGCACUCCGCUAGACAAUUACGAAAAUCUCUCAUCAUAGCAUUCGGUCUCGCAUUACCACCCUCCUUUUUUGAUGAGAGUAAAAUUUCAUUGAAAUCCCCUAGUAUCACCCAGGGGUGAUUUCCCAUAUUAUGUAAAUUUCGAAUAUUGUCCCAAGAUAACUUGCGCUCUCUCCAAACCGGGUGGCCAUAAAAACCCGUAAACUGCCAAUAUACAUUAUCAUCAUCAUUCAUAAAAAUAAUAUCAAUAAAAUGAGACGACACAUAGUUCAAAACAACUUUAUUCAACUUAUUAUAAAACAAGACUAGGCCACCAUCCCGACCAUCACUCUCCACUACAAUCAUCAACUCAAAAGAUAGAAAACGACGCAGCUCAUCGGCCUUACAUUUAUUCAAGUGUGAUUCAGAGAGAAAAAUCAAGUCUUCUUUGAUCCGCCCUUAGAGUUCCAAGAGUUCACGAACUGUCGUGGGGGAGAGCAUACCACGACAGUUCCAUCCUAGGAUCCUCAUUUGGCCCGGUGGCCCCCCUCCUCGGAGGCCGCCUAUGCGCCAUCAUCUCCAACCGACUCCCUCCUCUGCUGUAUGUAAGCAUCUUCCUCCUCUUUCUCGUUCGCUACAUGUGUAAUAACCCCAUCCCCAUCCUUCCUAGUUUCAACUCUACCCAUACAAAUUCUCUUAGAGGAAACACUCAUCUCACCAUACAACAUACGUUCUAGUUUUCCAUCUCUCUCUCAAAAGAAAAGUUUAAAUCACUACCCGUUGGUGUCAAGAUAGACUAAAUUACCAACAUUUAGACCCGAACGCAUCUAGGUGACGCUCGCUGUCAUCUUAGUCAGCGUUAAUGCGAUGUUUGACACCAGAUAUUUAACCUUGUACUGACGCCACGGCCCCUACCACUCCUUGAAAAUGAAAUGGCGAGCCGUCGUUAGCCCGCCACGCAGACACGCACACACACGCACGGCCUCGUCUUAAUCUCGAGAUUAAACCGGAAAGCAAACUCUAAUAAAUCCUCCACCCCCGGAUCGACAGCCUCUGCAUCGGCAGGCAGCAGCAAAACAACAGCCCAAUCGAGGGUCACUCCACACCACCACCACUCUCUUCCCCCAAUCCCCCGCUCCUCCUCCCCGAAACCCUAGCUGGAAUGGAGGCCAAAUCCACCACCCCUCCGCCGCCGGGCCCCGUGCUGGGCGCGCCCGUCGGCUACCCGCCGGCCGCCGUCUACCCGGCCGCCCCGCCCCCCGGCUACCCGCACGCGCCGGCCCUCUACGCGCCCCAGCCGCCCCCCGCCGCCGUCGCCGCCGCGUCGCAGCAGACCGCCGCGCAGCAGCAGCAGCAGCUGCAGGUGUUCUGGGCGGAGCAGUACCGCGAGAUCGAGGCCACCACCGACUUCAAGAACCACAACCUGCCCCUCGCCCGCAUCAAGAAGAUCAUGAAGGCCGACGAGGACGUCCGCAUGAUCGCCGCCGAGGCGCCCGUCGUCUUCGCCCGGGCCUGCGAGAUGUUCAUCCUCGAGCUCACCCACCGCGGCUGGGCGCACGCCGAGGAGAACAAGCGCCGCACGCUGCAGAAGUCCGACAUCGCCGCCGCCAUCGCCCGCACCGAGGUCUUCGACUUCCUGGUGGACAUCGUGCCGCGGGACGAGGCCAAGGACGCCGAGGCGGCCGUCGCCGCCGGGAUGCCCCACCCCGCCGCCGGCAUGCCCGCCGCCGACAUGGGGUACUACUACGUCCCGCAGCAGUAACGCCUGCAGUAUGUUACAGCGGACUUAAGUUGCAUCUAAGAUUGUGCUGUUGAUUUAGUGCUCUCCUAUGUUUGUUUGUUCACCGCUGAAUAAUUAAGAUGUUGUCAUCAUUUGAGGGGCCUCCUCUAUGUUAUAAGUGAUUCGAUCCAAGAAGAAUCGGUGUAGGUUCUUCUGAUCGAGGCAGGCCGUAUGAUGCUCAUGCAUGUCUAACUGAUAAGAUAAUUUAUCUCGUGGCAUUUCUCUGAUUACUUUUGUUCAUCGUAAUUUGCAGUGAAAUGGUUUGAUUGAUGUAUAAUCCAUGUAACUAUUACCCUGUUGUAUUUUAGGCAUUUAGGUUGCACAAUCAAAUAUUACAACAACUAUGGGCCAAGUGUUCGUAUAACUUCUAGCUUUUAUGUGCAUGUUUAAUUGGUACAACCUUUGCUAUAUAUUCAGAUAAUUCAGAUACAUGCUUCUUUGGUAAGUGGAUACUACCAAGGGCGUAACACCGUUCCCUGUAUGAUGUAAAAUUUAGUCAUGCAUAUGUGACUGUCUCUGAUGUCAUAUGGCCGUAGGGACUGAAAUUGAAGUUUUGAUAGUUAAUGUGAUUCUUGUUGUUAUUUGCAAAACCAGUAACACAUCAUAGGAAUGGGGAAUUUGCAAUGCAAACUCCUGACAUUUUCUUUGGUUUAACAAUAUAUACAUUCCUUUAUUCUCUUUGAGGUCCUAAUUCCUCAAGGCACUUUGGUUAAAGAUGGAUUAGUUAUGAGUAACUUUUUUAAAACUAGAAAAAUAUAAUGUUUUAGAUACCAAAUAGCUUUGCGUGUUCAUUCUCUUAUACUACUCCUUUCGUUUCUAAAUAUAAGUCUUUUUAGAGUUUUCAAUACGAAUUACAUACGGAUGUAUAGAGUAUAGACAUAUUUUGAAGUGUAGAUUCACUCAUUUUGCUCUGUAUGUAGUCUAUAUUGGAAUCUCUAAAAAGACUUAUAUUUAGGAAUGGAGGGAGUAUUAUGUUGGGCUCAGUAUGGUAUCCAGCGACUGUGAAUUGGACUACUUGUGCUGCAGCCUGCAGCGACAUUUAAGUUAACUGCCCAGUUAACUACUACUCGGCACUUGACCAAAUCAAAUACCCCCUUUGUGGCCAAUUAACUGGGCCAGUCGAUUAAUCGAUCUGGCAGCUGAUUAAAGGCUGAAAUUUCAGAUGGACCGAUUAACUGGCAGAGGAAGAUGUGUAUGUUGUUGUGAUGCUACUGGUUGGCUAUCUGCAUUGCUGCUAUGUCCUCUCCUCUGUGUAGACUACUACCACUGCAAGUGUUGCAUCUCUGAAAAUAAAUUCGGAUGAUAUGGGGUGGCCUAGGGUAUAUAAGAUAUCAAGAUAUGCACUCCUUCUGAUCCAUAAUAAUAUAGAGAAUGAACAACUAAUGUUGAUUGAAGGGAGUAGCAAACUUUGGGAAAUGAUUGUUUGCCAAAGACAAUUUUGCUGUGCAUCAGAUUUGUUCUGUUGUGGAGUUAUUGAAGCUUGCUUGCUUUUGCUCGGAAAAUAUAUGCUAAAAUCAGAAUUUUGAAGUUGGAUUGCAGGGGGGAUUGUGUGUCACGGAUUUCUUUACCAAAUGGCUCUUUCAGUCUUUGCUUUAGAAAACUGAUUACAUUUGCAGAUGUCAUGUUUUGUACAGAGAUUCAAUCUACUUCAUAUGCCUGAAGAAGGAUAGCAUCAAUCUGACUAUUUGUUUAGUGCUUCAUAUGCCUGAACCAAAGGAUUGCAUCAACCUGACUAUAUUUUCUUUAAGUUUGACAUGCAUAAAUGGAAACGACCUUUUUUUCUUUUCGGGUGUUAAAAACAACAGUUGAAGAACUGAAGAAGUAAAAGAGCCCCAACAGUGGACAAACUUUUCAUACUAGCCGUGAAGUCAGAAUGGCCAAAUUAGCAUUUCACUCUGCGUUGCAGCUAAUACUGAUGAAUCAUUCAAAGAAGCUUCGAACUGUUACAAAGAGUCACAAGCUUUAAACCCUUUCAACAUCUCUGGGGAGAGAAAAUUAAUGUGGAUUAUCUCUAAUCAUCAAGCAGAGAAACAGUGAUCUGCACGAUGCAAACAAGACUUAUGUUCUUGUUUCGUCCGAAUCAGCUCACCACGAAGCUUUGUAACCUUGAAAUUAGGAAAGCAGAAUUUGUCAAGGAUCAAGAACAACGUUUUAGGCACCGAGCAUUUCAAUCAUCAAAAAUCUUUGUAUGCACUCCCUUGCCACUCUGGGUGGUCUGAUGUUAGAAGUUAGAACAACAAUCCGGUUUGGUAUAGAUUGUGAAGAAAUUGGUGAAGAUUAUGGUGAAGAUUAUGUUGAAACCAUGUUUAAAAGUUCAACAAAAUUGUACCCGAAAAAAUACAGAUGCUAGGAGGGUGAUGUUCUAGAAGUAUGCAAAAUUUCAAGGUUCGGUCCUAAAUCAUUCUGUAGAUAUGUGAAAAUAUAAAUUCAUCAAUAAUAUAAACGUUUUCUGUGUGAUUUUUGCGCAGUUUUCACAGGUUUCCACUCCAAGUUGGUUUCCCCACAAUAUUUUCUCUAGAUAGUCUGCGAUGACUCCUAGGAUUCCAGUAACGGUGUGCAGGCUAGAAUCAGCACACCAAGAAAAAGCCUACAAAUGCAUAUAAUAGUGUAAUGACGCAAUCACGGUGACAAUAAGCUUCGACAACAGAACAACCACAACGAGUGCACAGAUCAUCCAACAUAUUCUUUCAUAGUUUUGUAAUCAUCAAAACAACAGGUUUGCAGGGAGAAUUGGGUUGUCCCUUGCCGGUUCAACCAUAACAAUGUAUAAAUCCGUAGUUCCGUAGUUGAAGAGCACAUGGAGACUUUCAACCAUACAAUGUACUCCCUCUGUAAAUUAAUAUAAAAACGUUUAGAUCACUAUAAGCUGCUAUGAAUGGGUCAUACAAAUAAGCUUUGAAUCGUUACAAAGAGUACAUCUGGGGGCGGAGAAAAAAAUGUUGGAAAUUCUCUGAUCAUCGGAGCACAAGCAGUGUUCUGUCUAUGCAAAUAACACCAUGAAGCCUGCGGCCCUAGAAGCACAUCGUUUCCUCCGAAUCAAUUCACCAGGAAGCCUACGACCCUAGAAUUAGAGAAGCAUUAUUUUGUUGUAGAUCAGAACAAAUUUCAAGCGCCGAAAAUUUCAGUCAUAACAAAUCUGCUGGCGUGGGGAUUAGUCAUGAAUUUUCAGAAGAUCUGAUCCACAGGGAGUAAACAGGAGGGUUUUUUUUUUUUUUUGCGGGUCACACAGGAGGUAAAUUCAACUCACUGAAAACUCGAAUCGGCUGUGUCCUAGGCGCACAGGAUGAGCUUGCCGGAGGGCAAGGCUACGGCGGCGACGGCGAGGAGGCAGGCGGUGACGACGUUCCGGUAGCACCACCGGAGCGGGCCCCACGCCCCCGCGCCCUCGACGCUGGCGCAGUUGGUCCUCGUCACCCCGCACUGCGGCUCCUUGGACAGGUCGAAGGACGCGCCCUUCAUGCGCAGCUCCUGCACGCACCGCGCGAGGGCCCGGGCGUCGCCGCGCUCCCGCCGCAGCCGCCGCGCGGCGCGCCAGUAGGCGCAGACGCGGAGCUGCACGGCCGCGGCGAGCGCGAGGGAGGCGGCCAGCGAGAGGGACGAGGGCGCCCACCACCUCCUGCAGGCGCGCGACGGGGCGCCGCCCGCGACGGAGGCGGCGAAGAGGAGCGCGAGGGAGAGGCCGUGGAGGGCGAGGAAGGCCGCGCAGAGGUAGAAGGCGUCCCGCCGCGCCGCGUCCAUGACCGCCUCGAGCGCGCACGCGCGGCGGUUCAGGCGGGACUCCUCCCGCUGCCACAGCUUGAGCAGCAGCAGGUGGCCCCCGCUGUCGGCGAUCUCGCCCAGCGGGUGGUGCCCCGACGCCGCCAUGCCGGGGAACGCGCCGCUGGCUGGCUCCGCUCCGUCGCCGGUGACCGGGAUCUCCACGACGUGGGCGUCGUUUUUGGUGGGCUCCGCCGCCAUUGGAAGUUGCGUUCUGAAUUGGAAGGUUUCGAGUUGAUGUGAGAUCGGGCUCGNNNNNNNNNNNNNNNNNNNNNNNNNNNNNNNNNNNNNNNNNNNNNNNNNNNNNNNNNNNNNNNNNNNNNNNNNNNNNNNNNNNNNNNNNNNNNNNNNNNNNNNNNNNNNNNNNNNNNNNNNNNNNNNNNNNNNNNNNNNNNNNNNNNNNNNNNNNNNNNNNNNNNNNNNNNNNNNNNNNNNNNNNNNNNNNNNNNNNNNNNNNNNNNNNNNNNNNNNNNNNNNNNNNNNNNNNNNNNNNNNNNNNNNNNNNNNNNNNNNNNNNNNNNNNNNNNNNNNNNNNNNNNNNNNNNNNNNNNNNNNNNNNNNNNNNNNNNNNNNNNNNNNNNNNNNNNNNNNNNNNNNNNNNNNNNNNNNNNNNNNNNNNNNNNNNNNNNNNNNNNNNNNNNNNNNNNNNNNNNNNNNNNNNNNNNNNNNNNNNNNGCUUAAGGAAGGAAGGGAAGGGGUGGUGUGCGUCCAACGGUCGGGUACUUUAGUGAGGCAGGCAACGGUCGAAUUUUCGCUGGGCCUCACGGUGAUGGCCCAUUCACAUCAUCAAUGAGAUCCUCAUUUUUGUCUCAAAAAAAAAUCAAUGAGAUCCUCAUUUUGCUAAAACAAAAAUCAAUGAGAUCCUAAAAAAAACUUAGAAAACUCAAAUAAAAAAGCAUCCAUGAUUAUUAAGUAAAAGACAAUUCAUCGGCGAUGGUUGUUGUUCUGGUGCGCUGGUCCUACAGGACCUUAGUACGACGACUUCCCGACUGUCUACUACAACAAGGUCUGUCUGGCUCCGAUGAGGGAGAGGCGAUGACGGCAGCGUGCCUUCGGCUCGCUUCAGUGCUUGUAGUCGUCGCUAGGUGAUCUAUGGACCUGGAUGUAUUUUUUAUUUCUGGUGUUCUUUGUACUAUCUUGACAGUUGAUGAAUAGAUUGAAAGUUUUCCAUGCAAAAAAAACAGUUGUCCCGAAAGUAGGGCGACCUUUCUCAGAUUGUCUAAGUUUAGGUCUGCCAGGGCCAAUAUGCCCCAUAUUAUAUUGCAAUUGAUAAAAUACCCCAUCUUUGCUCUAUACCGUGCCCAGCGACGGAGGCUCCACUGAGGUGAGUUGGUGAACUUGAGAUUUGCUUAAUUUUGUGAUGUGUUUUCGAUGUGUUGGGACUUGAAACCUUCAUCUAUGUGUUGGAACUUGAGAUUUACUUUGUAAUGUGUUGCUCUAUUUUGCUAUGUAAUGGAAAACUUUAUCUAUUUUGUGUGACUAGUGUGUCAAACUUGUUGGACAACAAGAAUGUAUGCCAUUUUCUCUGCUAUAGUUGCUUAAAUUGUCUGAAGUUUGAACAGUACACUAUGAAUAUACUUGAUUUUUUUUGUAAAAUUUUCAGGUUUUUCUGGGUAGUUCAAAUGUUUGCCCAAACUUUGGACAAACUCGGACUAAAAUUUCAAAUUUUGUUUCUCUCUGCCCCUUGUCCAGAAUUGGUUGAAAUCUGAACAGCGUACUAAGAAUAUAUUUGAUUUUUUGUAAUAUAUAUAUAUAUAUAUAUAUAUAUAUAUAUAUAUAUAUAUAUAUAUAUAUAUUUCUGGGUUGUUCAAAUUUUCGCCCAAAAUUUGGGAUCUUGUUUUCUCUUUGCCCCUUUUCCAGAAUUGGCUGAAAUUUGAAUAGUAGACUACUAUGGUUAUAUACUUAUUUUCUGUAAUAUUACCGGAUUUUUAUGGGAAAGUUAGUUUUUUUGACAAAAUUUGAAAAAACAAAUUGCGAUGCAUACAAGAUUGCACGGGUUACUAACAUUUUGUUUUUGAUCAGGGGUAUUUUGGUCUUUUACACCCACUCAUUUAUGUCAUAUGGUAAAGAGACAUCAUCAAGUUAAGUGUGUGCUAUUUCUGUCAAGAGGCAAAGCAAAGAUGGCUCAUUUUACCAAUUGCAAUGUAAGAUGGCCCACGUAGAGCAAAGGUAGGUCAUGAUCAAUAAGCUCAAAUUUAUAAGCCUCUUAUGUAUAUUUUCAAAAAAAAUAAACUACCGAAAAAGGAUUUCCCCCCGCUUUAUAUUAUAAAGCAAACAUCACCACAUACAUCUGAGCGAGCUGAACAAACACACGCCACCACGACACACAACACACACACCCAAGGCUAGAUACAAGGGUGCCAAGCACCAUCACACCACUCGGACACAACCAAGCCAACAAAGUAUGAGCUACGAAGAACUACUUGGAGUCACCGAGGGGGUGAGACGGACCAUGACGAAGCAAGGACUUCAAGACGGUGCCCCCCAGAAGGGUACGACCACGGAUAGCCGCCACCGUCCGAUCCGCAGAUCAAGUUUUCACCCAGAGCGACGCAAGGGGUGAGAGCACCGUGACGGAGCCUUCAAGAAGAAUACGACGUCCACAAACGCCGCCACCGACGGCCAGAAAAGGACUGGGCAGGUGAUGAACCCCGGUGCUCGCACCCACCGACACACCCCUGCUCCGCCAACCACCCGCAGUCACGUCCCCCGCGAGACCAUGGCUGCCCGCCCGCACCUGAGACGCAGGUUCCGCUCCCGAACGCCACACCUCCCGCCGCCAGGGCCGCCGCCCAACAUCUAGACACCCCUAAGACCAUCCAAAGAGAUCAACUUUGCACCAAAGGAGCCCCACCGACCGACGAACCGCAUCAUACAUCCUGCCUUGAACAUCGUCGGAGCUGCGACAGCCAACACGCGGCCGAGGAAAGGGGAAGGUGGGGGAGCGGAUGCAUCCGGACCGGCACACCCCUGUGCCAGUGACGGGGGCCCGAGCAUGUCGGCGCCACCCAUCCCUCCAACCAGCCUCCCCACCGGACACUCCUGUGCCGCCCCACCUCGGCGGCCGACGCAACACCGCGCAAGGCCACCGACGCAGACCCGACCACCGGCAAGGGGGACCCCAAGUAUAGCCGCCGAACGCCAAGAAUGCUCACCGGGGAGCCCAUCUGCCCUACCGCCGUUGUCCAGCCGGCGGGACGACUGGAUUCCGACCAGCACGCCCACCUGCCACCGCCGCUGCGCCUCCACCACCACCAGCCGAGGCCACGGUAGGGGCGGACGCCCGCAGCCCGCGGCGUCCGGACCCAGAUCUGGCCGAAGCUGCCGCCGGAGCCCGCCGCGCACCACCUCCGCUGCAGCCCCUUCAUGCCGCCGCCCACAACUCGCAUCGCCGCCACCACCAGCUGCUGCCGCCGCGCCCUGAGGAAACGCCACGCCGCCGCCCGACCCGGAGGCCCGCGCCUGCCGAGCCGAGAGGGGGAAGGAGAGGGCCCCGCCGCCGCCAGCACUGGCCGGGCUUUGCCCGGUCGGGGCAGCGGCGAGGGGAGGGAGGAGCGAGGAGGGGGGCUGCUCGCGGCGCUAGGGUUUUCCCCCCGGGUGCUCGCGGGAGCGCCACCAAAAAUAAACUACAUAAUCCCCCGUGUCGUCCUCUGGGCGACUCGGGCGGCGAUCUGAUCCUCUUUUCCCGGCCGUCCUUCUCGUGCGUCCUCUCCUCGCCGCCGCCGGUCAGCGCCGCCGGGCUUGCCCGUGUGGUCGACGGCGGCGGCGGGGCUCCAUACCCGUGGCGCUUAGGCAGUAUUUGGCGGCGUACGAGCGGCGACUGGACGCCAUGAAGGUGGAACUUGCAGCGACGGCGAGGGAUUUUGGUUGGUCGGCGGCCUCGCAGCAACGGGUGCACGUCUUUCCUUACCUUCCCUGGCGGUCAGGAGCAUCAAGUGGCAGGGGUGCAGACGGGCAUGAGGUCCAUGAACCAACCUGUACAGCACUCUCAUGCCAGAUAGGCGCAAGGGCGCAGCGUGCUACGGCGUAGGCCAAGCGACGGAUGUCGUGCCUGUCGCCCACGCUGUGCGUUCGAAGAUGGUGGCCAUGGUGGUCGUCCACUCCGGCAAAAGGCCGGUGGCACUAUGGAUCUGGCUAGUAUGAUGCUGUUUUGCACUGCCCUAGACCUUAUUGGUUGUGGUAGUGGUCGGAUGGCAUCGUCUGAGGAGUUUUAAACUUCCGAUCCAACGACAACAGCGAGUUCCUAUUCACGGACUGCGUCGAGGAUGGAGGCGAUAGUGUCAACGUGUGUUGCUGUCGUCUUAUAAAGAUCAGCCAUAUGUUGUUGCUUGCGAGCACGGCGGGCCUUCGGAUCAUCCCGAACUUGGAUUUUGGCAGUGCUGGUCUCCUGUCUCCCCGCGAAGACUUCGCCAUGUUGUGUCGAGCGACCCUCGCCAUGGCUCAUUAGCCUAUCGCCGGGACGGUACGCGUGUGCUGCUAGGAUCGAGGCAAGUGGAGGAGACAACAUAUGAUGACUUCGAUUGGGUGGUACUUUUUGGGUACCUAGUCUCAAGCUUCGGGGUGAAAACCCUAGGUCUGACCAUUUGGUUAUACAUGGCAAUGGUGGUGUUCUCUACGUCAUUACCUUGAUGAAGGCAUUGCUUGGAGUUUACUCGGAUUUGAUUUUCAGGGUGAAAACCCACGAUCUAACCUUCGAUGGUUUGGUCGGGCUACGGCAUCGCUUGCACGUCAUUCUCUUCCUGGAGGCAUCGCUUUUGAAGAACUUACCUUGUAGUCCUUGUGUUGUCAAGAGAUGGUUUGGUGCCAAUGGUCACUGCUGUAUGCUGUCAAAUCAUUGUUUUUAUCGCUUUCGGGGUUUUUAUUUUCUUUUUCUUUUGCCUAGGCAUAGCUUUGGUCUUGUUGACUUUGCUAUUUGCCGACGUGAUUUUUCAUAUGCGUGUGUUAGUGUUAGCUGUGUGCAUCCUAAUUAUGCAGAGGCCGGGUGUGUACUCACUAUAAUUGUAUCCCUCGAUGCUAUAUUUUGAGUCAAUAAAAAACACUCUUUGUCAAAAAAAAUAGAAGGUGGAGAACAGACUCACAUAGCACUCGCGUAUGUUCCCCACCCAGAGACUGAGGAGAGGGGAGGGGGAGGGGUGUACCAUGUCCUAUCCUCUUAUCAUUACUAUCAUAGUCAACCCCAUCGAUGUUCUUGGGAAGGUCAUAACAAUGUGGUACUUAUCUUCUCGUAUAGAUCACAUAUCUCAAUGAGAAACCUCACUCGAGGUUAUAGUUGUGUUUGAACACAGCAUCCCAUAUACAUAGAAUGCAUGUGCAAGAGCAUCUCCAACAACAACCCUAUAAUUGAUGACCCAAAACUGGCUUUAGGUGUGGAGAGAGAAGAUUUGGGUUCAACAGAAAAGUUUCUGCUCUUUCAGCAGCUCUAAAAUUAUUUUUUGGUAUCGUAGAAUUUGAAACAUGGACAAGCAUCAUAAAUUCAUUGCAUAUUUUAAGCUCUAGAAUGAAAUGUUGCACAUUAAACAUGAAACGACAAACUUAAACACUGGCAUUUUCAUAGAUCCCUAGCACUACAUUGCGAUAGACCUAGCUCUACUCCUAAUUGUAGUAGUUGUCUAAUUCCUCGUCGGAGAUGUCAAUCACCCCUCCGCUGGAAGGGCUGGCCUCGUGGUCAUUGGCGGUAGACCUACUCCACGUCUUCAUCUCCUCCUCAUCGAAGAGCUCCGCCUCCAAUAAUUUGUUGCGCUCCGCCUCCCUCGACUCGCAGAAUGCAGUGUUGUUGAUUGUGGAGCUGUGAAUCAACCUCAAUGAGGUUCUCUACAUAGACCUCAUAGUUGGCCUCGGCCUUGCGUUGCUCCCCGGCCCAGCGGUGCUCCUUCCUCGUCACGGGAGACGGCCCUAAUGGAAGGGGCGAGAAAAUCCGCAUCCAAGUAGAAUUUUUGUUGUACAUGAUGAGAAACCUCUUCUGAGGUUAUAUUUGUGCUUGAACACGGAAUCCCCAUAUAAAUAGAAUGCAUGUGUAACGUGUUGGGAAGCCGCUAGGUGAUAACUAGAUGGAGCUCGAUGCGCUCGAGUUGUUUGUUAAUCUGGUGUGGCUCAACCAUGUAACAAUGCCUUGUUAAAGGUAGAUUAGUUUUUUUUACGGGAAAGUAAUUUUAUUCAUCAAAUGACAGCCAGAUCGUUUACAAUCAAGAAUGAAAUGAAAUCAAGGAGGUAUUAUCCCAAAUAGACGGGGAUUUAGAAAUAUAACAGGAUUUAGCCAGGCAAUCUGCAACUUCAUUAGCCUCCCUCUUGCAAGGUUAAAAGUGGAUUGGUUCAUUGCACGCACACAUAUGGUUAGCGUGGGGGAGAUCUAGGCAAUUGCAAUAGGGGCAUGUGCAAUGCAAGGUGCUUAUGUAGGCGUGCUUAAGAAGAUGGAAUAUUGCCACAUCAGUGAGCACUAAUGUAAAUUGCAUCUACUGUAGUGCAAGCUCCCCUUCGUAGGUACUUGGAUGAUCUAUUACACUAAUUACCACAAGUUAAAUGCACAAGCAUCGUUGCCAAAUCAAGCAACAAAUCCUUCAAUAUAAGCAAAAGUUUUAUCCAGCGUGGCAAUAAAAUUGCUUCUUUAUCCUGCUAAGCACAUUGCAUGCUCCCUCGAACGUGCAACAUGCCGCCGUGCAAGGUUUCACUAGUAAUAAAAUAGGUUAAAAUUGACAAUUGAACAUUCUUCAAAAGUAACUCACUGAUUCUAGAUCCCCUCCGUUCCAAAAUAGAUGACUCAACUUUAUACUAACUUUAGUACAAAGUUGAGUCAUCUAUUUUAGAACGGAGGGAGUAUGUCUUAAAACCUUUGUCGAUUAAAAAGGUUUAAGGUAAUUCCACCUCAAGUGAUUAAUAAUCGACAUUUCUAAGCACAUAUGAUCUAUAUUGGCUGUUUACGACCUCGACAAUUUGCCAUGUAUGACUAGGUGGGAUAGGUAGAAUAGAAUUCGAUUUUCCUACAACAUGUCUAAUUUUGACAAAUUUUAUGCAUUGAAUUUGCAAUAUCCGCACACCACAAUUAAAUUGGGCACAAUAUUACUACUACACUGAUCAACCAGUGAACUUUGUAUUGUAAUUUUGACCAAUAUCAUGGUGAGCUUGUGAUGUUCAUCCACGCACAACAAUUAAUUAAAUUGUGUGUCGAAAGUAUGGUACCCUGUUGAUAAGACCCAAGAUCCGCCACUGGUUCAAGGACUUGUACAUCACAUAAUGUUUCAGACUCUUGGUGAUUACUGCAUCAACUCUUGGUGCUUACAGUGUUAUUAGUGUUUUUACUCACCUGUGGCUAUGUGACUGAGCUAUAAUCAAAUGUUCGUGGAGUAAUAAGUAUGUCAUCACUUCAAACUUCAGUCAGGUACUCCUCCAUUUUGAUGGAUAACUUUGCUCUACCUCAUCAGCUCCGUCUGACACACCAGAAAUGGUGUUGUGAGGCUUUUGUCUGCUCUGAACAUGAUGCCUUGAACUCAUCCUCGCCCUCAAAAGCAAGGAAUUGGCCAUCACGCUGACUGAACUAAAACCCAUCAGUGCUCCAGCUAUUGACGGGGUCAGCAUCGUACCCGUCACUGGCAGCAAUGCUCCAGCAGCAACGGGUAGCCCAACCUGCAAAGUAUCGCAUCAUAACGAGGCCUCGCAAGCAGGAUUCUGAGCAGGCAUAUAUUUUUAAUCUAAGUGUAACUUCUUUAAAACUGAGGUCCAACAUUAUCCUGGCAGUUGAUAACUUAUGAAACACAUGAGCAAGGCAUAAAGAGACAAGAAAGGGAAACAUACAAUGUUAUACAGAAAAGCCCACCAAAGAUUUUGCUUCACUGUUCUCAUGGUUUCUUUACUUAACUCUAAAGCAUCAACAAGCUGCAUCAAAGACCCAUCAGCGCAGUUUAUUAGAAAAAAGAAAGAUGGUACUAGCACAAAGAGGGAAGUAAAGUUCAAUGAAUUUGGCAAUGGUGUCAGUGAGUAACUCCAAGCUGCCGUGAAUGAAUUACCUGAGAUAACCUAUUACCCAUGAGAACAACUGAAGAUACAUCACUAGCUGCACCAACACCCCCACCCAUUGCGAUUCCAACAUCAGCUAAAGCUAGGGCUGCAGCAUCAUUGAUGCCAUCACCAACCAUCGCAACUAACUUGUGCUCCUUUUGAAGUUCAGAUAUGAACUUCUUUUUCUCAUGUGGUUUAACUUCAGAAAUCACCUGAUACCAUUUAAUUAUGUACACAAGUAAAUCACACUGAAAAGGUAACAAAGGAUAAACAAAUCAUGGUAAGAAAAGAAUCCUAAUGAAUGAAAGAAACGUUUUUUCAUGCUUCCCAUUGUGGCUGAAAUGGUUUCAAUCAUAGAUCUUUAUGUUCGCUUAAUAGUGCAUGGGGAUGAGAAAUUGCUAAUACCAGAUGAAAUCAAUUUACAUAUUAAAGCCUUUCAGCUUGCUGUAAGAUUUCCAUGCAUAAUUAAAAGCAUGAAUCCAUUUCCUACAAAGAUACAUAAUAAUAUCAUAACUUUAUGACAAAUGUUAAUUAUUUUUCUUUACGAAAAGUUGAACAGUGGUAUUUACCAUCUGAAUUCAUAUUUUCAGGUAAAUUAAUAGGCAGAAAAUUUAUGCAGCAUUAGGCUUCUAAAAUUAAUGAUAAAACAGCACUACCGGUGCACCUUCUAAGAUGUACUAUAUAAAUUGCAUAUUUGAAGUCAGACAACAUGUUCAUUCUCAUACUUUGAUGUCAUAUAGGAGUACUACAGAAGUUUGUUGUUUUACUACAGGAACUAUUCACCAGAAAAGAAAUGUCCACAUCGGUAAAGCAAAAUUUAGUUGAUAUUACCUUGUCUAACUGAAUGCCAACAACUGAAGCAACAUUCAUAGCAGCACUCUCCUUGUCCCCAGAUAACAUAUACACACUAAUUCCUUGCUUAGACAGGGCACUGAUAACUUGAUGAGAAUCUUCUCUGAUCUUGUCCUCGAAACAAAUAAGACCAGCUAGAGUACCAUCAACUGCUACAUAUGCAACAGACUGACCAAAACUUUCUGCUUCAUGAAAUGGGUCACGAACAACACCAUGCCUGAGAUAUUGUCAAAACAAUUGUUUACUAGUGAGCACAGUUCCUCGGUGCAACAUAACAAUUACACAUGGAGCUAGUGUAAUGGAGCAGAAAAUUGAUGCAAUAAUCCAAACAAAGUUGUAUAGCUAGAAUGAGGAAAGAUAUAUGUCCCUAGUACAAGUCUUAGCACAACAAUUGAAUAAAUAAUUCAAGUGUACCUCCUAAUCCAGUCUAAUGUACCAACCGAAACCUGUUUCUCACCAAUCGUAGCCACAGCACCAGACCCUGGUUCUUCCAUAAAGGACCCAUCCUUUGCCUGUAACGAUAUACAUGGGAAAAUGGCGAGCAUAUAAACACAGUAAAAUCUGCAACUCUAAUGGGGAAUAAACUGUGCCAUGAAACAGAAAUGUCAAUUAGGUGAUCUCAUUUUAUCAUAAAAGCACUAUUGAGCAGAAUAUGUCAAUUAUCAAGUUAAAUGGCAAAGGGUGCAAGAUGUUUGUUUUCUUUCAACUCUGGUGCAAGGGUGGUUAUGGGCCUAAUGAGAUUCAGCCACGGUCUGAAUUCAAGUAGCAGAACAGUUAUCCUACAACAGCCGUUUUAGUGUACCGAGGCAAUUGGCAUACUGAGGUCAUUUUAUCUCAGACUUGUUGAGCAUUUCUGCUGUGAGUACCUUCAUAUUGAUGCAAUUGGCAGCCUGGGCAGCUUCCAUGAUCGCUUUUCCAAGUGGAUGGUUUGUAUUUGAUUCUACUCCAGCAGCCAAACUAAGAAUGUCACCUUCUGUCCAUUCAUUGUUCCAGUAAUCUCUGAUGACAAAAUAUGGUUUAUCAACAGGAAGAUCAGGGAAAUAAACUUCACUUCUGCUGCUGAGGGUACAUGAAGUGCAUAAGUCACACAUACGAUUUGGAAAAAAAAACGCUAUCCAUGGAAAUACAUUGCAAAUUUCAGGGUGUCCCAUCCUAUGUGCAGCUAUGUUUUGCAGUGAGUUCCAGUUAAAUGGGAAGUAAAAAGUAACGCAUAAAAAUUCUAAAUUAUAACCAAGUACAACUUUGAGGAAAGUAAUUAGAUACAACAUACAAAUUCAGUAAACAGAAUCAGAACCACUUAACUUUGUAUUUACACCUCCCUCGCUGUGAGAAGCUAUUACUUUUGUCACUACAGGUUUCCCAAUUGUUAAAGUUCCGGUCUUAUCAAACACAAUGGCAUCAACUUCCGCAAAUUUCUCCAAAACAUCCCCACCACGUAAAAGAAGUCCUCUCGUUGCACCUAACGAAGUACCAACCUGGAAAUAGUAUAUAUGAAUAAUUGUUGACAGAACGUUUAUUCAGGCAAAAGGGGCCAUAUCCUUUAGUUCCAUACCAGCACUGCAGUGGGUGUGGCAAGACCAAGAGCACAUGGGCAAGCAAUUACCUACACAUGAAGAUCAAUACCCUUAACUGUUCAGAAAGUAGGGCACAUUGUAGGCAAGGAGAAGUUAAAUUAGAAAAAAAUCUAUCCUCAGCCCUGAACUAUGGUAUUUGGUCUGACUAGAACACUUUAAUAUAAAACCUUCUGUAAUAGACCCUGAACUUUCUAGAGUCAUUUGUCCUAACUGGUUUUCGAUGGUGGUUAUGUAUUCUGGGGGUUUCUAAAAAUGUGAACAAUCAUUGGUGUAAAGGAUGUUAGAAAGUGAGAACCUGCAAAUUUUCAGCCAAAGAUACAACCAUUUGUGUCAUGAACAAAAGAGGGAAAGAUAUAUCAAUCCAUCUCGUCUUUUUGGUACAGGAUACAAAUGAUCAUAUUCUGUGAUGCAAAUUUUCAGCUCCUUAUUUUAUGAGUUAUUCAUUCCCUACACCUUCGAAAUGUUUCACAUUUUUCUGGAAAACACAAAAAGACGAGAACAUCUAUCUUGUUUUUUGUACAUGGCAGAAAAACAUGCAUAUUUUUUUAUGAAACUUUGCAGAUUCUCAUUUUAUAGUAUUCCAUUCCAUUGCACCUAAAAAAGUUAUUUCAAGUUUACUAUAAACAAUGUUAUAGUCUAGGGUUGAAAUUGGACCAAACAAUAUAUUUCAAGGUUCAUGGUCAUUAACAUAAAUGAAAACCAUAAUUUAACAUUUAAAAUUGUUGGAGAGUUGUAUAGACAUAUGAGAGGUACAUAGAUUUCUGACAGCUACACCUGUGCAACUCAAGUCUUCUUAACACUUAAGAUGAUACAAGUAUGGGACUAAAAGCAUGAUUAAUCCAGUUACACCCAAUGAUCUUAUUUCCUUUAUAAGAAACCUUUUUUAAAAGUUCAAUCUUGAAAUGAACCUACACUUUCAACAUCCCUGCAUUUCAAACAAACAUGGCUGUUUUUCAUGUCAUUUAUUUUGUAAGCUCAAUAACUGAAUUUGGAAUUAGACAAUUUUUUCUCUCAAGACAACACCAUUCAAAGGAGUUUGCAGUUUACACUACCAUAUGCUACUUUAAGCAAAACAUUACUCUUUAUUCAAAGUAAAUAGACAGGAUAAGACUGUUAAACAUGUGUUUCUUGGAUCAUACCAGAACACUGCAAGAAAGCUGCAAAGCCAGAGACAUUGCACUUCCCUGCUGGAUAGCAGCAGGUACAAAUUGUGAACCAAAAAUACUCCAGAACAUAAAGGUAGCAGAAGAAAGCGCCAUAACGCCAUAUGUAAAGUUCCCGGCAACCUGUUAUGUAAUAAUAAAAUGAUUGACGCAAUUAAUCAUAGUAAUACAGUAUAGCCUAAACCUAUAACUAAUUCAGGUUAUGAUAUGGUAAGUGGAUGAAAAUAUCUCUAAGAUUGUUGUAACUGAUCAAAGAUCCGUCAGCAGUGACCAGGACAAAGACAGUAGAGGACGGUGUAACAAAUGCCCUAUGCGGAAACAUAUAAAAGAGCUAAUACUAAUUAUCUAAGACCCCGUUCCCAACACGGGACAAAAUCAAGGUUCCUAUUGGGUUCAGACCGUUUGCUGUGGUAUUCCUGUAUUAUAAACAGACCUUAAUAAAAAAUGGAAUCAAUAUUUCGAGUGAUCAGGAACUUAAAAGUAGAAUACAGCAGUAAGUGCACACAUCGUCUGAACCAAGAAACGUUUUGAACAUAUGUCUAAGUGCUAAACAGGCUCAAGUAUCUACUGGAAGAUACAUUUUUACUAAAUUGCUAAUUACAAUCUUGCCUAGGUCAAAUAAAAAUUGCAGAAAGUAGUCAAUGACCCAUAUUCCAUAAUUAUUUAGUCCACACAAAGGGUCCAUGUGUGGAACUCGUGCGCCAAACUGAACAUCGCAUCCACAUACAAAAUGUUUAUGUGUACAUAAUUGCGUUGGACAUAAUGAUAAAAUAGAACAAUUCAGCAUUAUAUCAGACAUUAACACUAAAUUAGUAGUAGUUCUCGUAGAGUUGGUCCCAGAGUCUCAGUUCCAAAUGUGAUGACAAAUAUACCUUGUCAGCUAAUCGCUGAACAGGGGCUUCCCUUGUCUGUGCUUCUUCCACUAAGUGAAGUAUGUCAGACAUGACAGUCUCACCGCCAGGUCGUCGAACUUCAACUGUCAGUUUACCGUUUAAGUUAAUGCUUCCCGCUGAUACUUCUGCCUAACAAAGGAAAAAAGAAUCAACACCAUACUCAUGCUAAUGUUCAGAUAUUACCUGAAUUCAGUGAGCCAGAAGGCACCAAUAUCUCCACAUAAGACAAUAUUAGGUGGUUCAGAAAACAUACCCCUGCAAUCUUAGUUACCGGCAUAGGUUCACCUGUCAAACUUGACUCGUCAACUGUACUUCUUCCAGCUUUCACAAGUCCAUCGGCUGGAAUGCGGUCCUGGACAGUGCACGAUAGCAAACAUUAUACUAAUAGGAUAAUAGCAUGCGAUCAUACACGAGCUACCCAUAAUGGCUAUAACCGCAUAAACAAAGUUCUAUGUGGACCUAUGACAGGAACAUAAUAUCAUGCACUUGUACCUGUAUAUGUUAUUAUGUUUACUCAUUAACACACAAGCAAAUAACAUGCCAAACUUUUAUAACUGCAAAGGUAGGAAGCAACAAAACUAUUACCCAUAAAAAAACAUGUGUAAACACUUUUAUUAAUUUGUGUGUUUGUCUGUGUGACUUAUAUUUACUCACCCCAGGCAGCACUAACAUAUAGUCCCCAACAGCAAGAGUACCACAUGGGACCUCUGUGAAUGAUGAUUGCUCUGCAUCAUUAUCCACCAUUAGGCGUGCUUUUGAUGGAAGUAUAUUGAGCAAUCCGGUCAUAUCACUAGCAGCUUUUAACUUCGCCCUCUGCUCAAGAUUCUUCCCUAGAAGAACAAAAGCUAUCAACAUAAUUGGUUCCUCAAAAAAUGUCUUCCAUCCCUGCAAGACAAUCAGUUGGUAUAAAAUAACUACCAUAAAAUAGAGCAGUUGUACAAUUAAAUGGAACCUGAAUUAUGACUUUGCUCAACAACAUCUGCAGAGCAGAGACAAUGAUGCAGUUGUGGUAAGGUCAAAUUCCUGGUUCCUAUGGUUUGAUGUAUCUGAGCUCAUGCAUGCAACUAUACAACAAUGUAAUCCUUCCAGGAAGAAAGUAGGAGGUACCAGCUUUGGAAUGAAGGCUGCAACUGAGCUGACAGCAAAAGAUGACAGAGCACCUAAACCAACCAACGUAUUCAUGUUUGGAGAACCCUUGAAUAGACUCUUUAUUCCAUCAAUAAUUAGUCUUCGUCCAGGCCCAAUAAAUGUAAAUAUUGAGAGAGACAAAUGGAAUCCAGUGGAAUGAAACAGGUGCACCAAUGGUGCAUUAACUCCAAAGAGAUGAGAAAUAUGUCCCAGUAGGCAAACAGCACAUAGUGCCCAAGAUACAGCAAGUUCUCGACCUAAAAUAGAAACCAAUGUCAUGCUAAUCAUAGAAAAGACUCAAACUUGGACAAAGAUCAUAGGGUUGAUGUUUAGUUGCCAAUGCGAAUUAAGUUUACCACUUUGCUUCAGAUUUUGCAGUUUUUCGCCCAUCUUUCUUUCAAAAACAUUCUGUGAACUGACUUUCGAAGAAUCUGCAAGUACAAUAGACAGUUGCAUGAAACUGGAUAUACUGGCGCCUGGCAUUAAAAUUUAGAGGGAAAUUCAGACAUAAACUGGAGGGCAAAGCCGAUAAAGUGAAUGACAAAGCAAUUUCAUCUGUCUUGCAUUACAUAGCAUAAUGUAACAACAGGACUUUGAGAUAUAUCCAGCUAAACAAUAGGCACUGGACCUCUAAAGCACCAUUCAUAUAUCUUGCAUAUAAAAACCACUGAAAUGCUUAAGCAGCAUGCCCAGUCAACUUCUAUUGAGGAACCUAUCCAUCAGCAGAUUUUGCACAUUAGGGACAACUAGCAAUUCUCUAAGUUCUAAACCAUUGUUCAAACAGUCCUCAACACAUCCAAUUAAAUGGUAUUAUAUCAGCCUCACGACAUUACAGUAUCAAUUGUAACAGUUUACCUCGCUGGCUGGAUUUGUACCCACAUGUUGUCAACUGGCUAGCGAGCUUCUCACCCAACUGCAGUUUCCAAUCCUGUACAGCUCUAUCUUCCGGCACAGCCCACACAACUGCCAUCUCAGUAGCAAGGUUGACAGUUGCAGACACCACCUGGGGCUGCAAACACAAGCACACUGGCUUAGAAAGACAGCUAGUUGACUAAUAAACACCAUGCCGGAAAACAGCUCUGAGCCAGUGAGACACGCCGAGGCAACUCACCUCAUUCUCUUUUUCUUUUUUUUUUCUUUUUUUGCGAAUAACUCACCUCAUUCUCCAAAAUGCGUUUAACGCUUGCUGCACAUCCCCCACACGACAUCCCCUGCAGUCACAAGUUCAAACGCUCAAAUGACUAAUGUAGUCACAGAUUACAUAGUACUAGAAGAAAACAUAAUUCCCAUGACAGCUUGAGAAGUUUCACCAUGCAACUAUAGCAUAUAGAACUGAAGUACCAUUAUUACUAGCAUAACGGCCGUGCAUUGCUACAGAACCACAAAUAUGAUUCAGUCGUAUUGGAUUAGUAGUUGUUGUUGUUGUUGUAUUGGAUUAGUACUACUCCCUCUGUUCCGAUGAAUAAGGCGUACUUCGUUUAAUUAAGACAAGACCUUUACCAACAAUUACUCUUUUAAUAUUUGAUUUAUGUGAUACAAAAUCACUAUCAUAACAAAGUACUUUUACAUACAAAUCUGGUCACACAAAUUUCAUGUCAUAUAACCUUGUAUUUAUGGAGGGUCAAAUGCAUGUCUUAACAAAACAAAAUACGCCUUACUUUUAGGAAUGGGGGGGAGUACUGCAGAGAAGAAACCCAAUCAAGCAGUCAACACCACACCUGCGUAACUGCCGCGGCGAUGGGAUCACCAUUGCAAGAUAGAUUUUAUUUUAUUUUUCAAAUCGAGGGGUGUGGUAAGUUCUAGAUGAAUGAGGGAGACUGGGGUGGAGUGAGGGAGUGAACUCACACCACCACCAACUCCAAUGAAGAGCAGAGAAGUAAAGACUAGCAGCUACAGUGAUUCCAUCUAAGGGGAAAAUUUUACUGGGACGUGAAGAUAUGAUGUAAGCAUUUACAAUUCCCAAGACAUACAUACCCCAACGUCAAGGAUUAUGGUAUCGGCUUCCAGCCCUGCCGCUUCCUCUGCCACCGCCGUCCCCUGGGAAGCACGCGGCCGCUUCCACCCAUCGCCGCCUCCAUCACCGCCGCCCCCUCCAUCUCCAUUCCCCCUACCGCACCCGCCACCGGGAGGACCGGUCGACGCAAGGGGGGAAGCCGAGACGCUCGCGAACCAGCGGCGAGGGGAGGCCGGGCCGCGGAGCGCUAGGCGCGCGAGCGAGAGGAGGAGCACGUCGCCGUUCACGGAGCGACGCUGGGCGGAAGCGGCGAAGACAGGGGCGCGGCCGAGUGGGGCCGUGAGGGGGCGGCCGCGGAGGAGGAUGUUGUGCGGGGACGUGGCGGGGAACGACCUGGAGCGGGAGGAGAUAGCCCUGGAGAUGGCGAGGAGGGGCGUGGACGGGUCCAUCCUCGGGAAGCUUCUAGAAGGGUCUACGCAGCGGCGGCAGCAUGCGGCGGCUCGGGCACUGCUUUGCUACUGCCGCUGUGUGCGCGGCGGCGUCGAGUGCCGGAGGUAGCGGGGAUUGUAGAGUACAGGCCCGUACCCGUACGACGAGGAAUUUGGAUAUUUGCAACUCUGUUUAAUGAGUGAAAACUCAUCAGCGGUCAUUGGACUUGUCCACAAAUUUCACUUUAACUCAUCAGCGAAGGCCACAUGCAUGCUUUUUUUCAAAUUUUCAAAAAUGUCGUGAUGUCGUGACAAUUCUCCUUUCGCCAAAUCCCUAGCCCAUGUCCAUGUCGUCCGUCGAAUAUGUCCUGAAUCGCAUCCUCGUCCGUAGCAUUCGCCGCCAUCUCCCGAGAAAGGUACAACCUACUGGGGCUCAAAGUAGACACGAUGCACGGCACCAUCAGUGGUCACCGGAGCCAUCAAGUCUGAGAGAGACUGUCAUUUUGGUAUCCCGUUGGGAGGUGGAGGCACAAGAGUCCGGGAGGCGGCACUAUGUUUUACCACAUCGACAAUGCCUAAAUCCACGAAAUAAGCAAACUCGAGGAACGCAAGGCAAGACCACGGGGAUGCUCCGGUUGUAUCCCCAUGUGAGCCCUCACGGAGGCCUUGCCACAGCAGCCAACGCCGCUUGGGGCCAUGAGCAACGCAUAUAUGACAUGUUUCUCUCCGCCGAGGUAGACUCCUUUUUCACUACAAACCACCUCACCUACCCUGAGACGAAGCUCUCGCCCAUACCUUGUGGUGACCCUACUGGAGUUGGGUUGCACGCACGAGCGCCAAGACCAGUACAUGUGACACUGCAUAGGGAUCUACCCAAGCACGCACGCAUAAGAGCCCCAGAGUGCCCAUCCCGGCGGCAACCACGAUGGGCACAACUUUUGCCUUGUUGGCCUCGAUUCAUCAUUGCAACACUUCCCUAACACCAUCGUUAUCUACAGUCGCGCCUCCACCUCGAACCGGAACCGCCUUCAUCGCUCGUUGUCGCCCUACUCAUGCAACUACAUUGGGCACGCCAUUGCGCAUACUCGUCAUCCCAGUUGACCGCGAAGAGAUCGUACUCCAUGGUUGUUGUGGGUUGGGCUUCACGAGGUCGGGGAAGACGAGGCAACUCUCUUGCAGUUACAUAGAAGCGUGCUUGAUGGAGGUUGAUACGUCUCAAACGUAUCUAUAAUUUUUGAAGUAUUCAUGCUAUAUUUACAUCACUUAUUUAUGAUUUUGGCACAAUAUUCAUUUGGACUAACAUAUUAAUCCAGUGCCAAAGGUUUGUUCCUGUUUUCUACUCCCUCCAUUCCAAAAUAUAGUGCGUCCAUGCUUUCCGAGGUCCAACUUUGACCAUAAAUUUAACCAACGAGACCAACUGUGGCGGGAGAAAAAAAUUAUAUAAUUGAAAACUUCUUUUGAAUACAAAUUCACCGGUAUAACUUUUGCUCCCACCGCAGUCGGUCUCGUUGGUUAAAUUUAUGGUUAAAGUUGAAGCACACGAAUAGAGGAAGCACAAUAUUUUGGAACGGAAGGAGUACUAUUUUGGGUUUCUAGGUGAAAAAAUCACGGAGCAAGAAUGAGUUGAUAUUUUUCAUGAAUUUGUUAUGGAAUAAAAGGCCACGGGGCCGGAGAGAUGGAGGCCGAGGGAGCCAGGAGGGCUCCACACGGAUUGUUCAUGCUGCCACCCCCUAGGUCACGUCGAGGCCCGCGUGGGUGCUCCUUAAGUCGGUUGGGGCUCUUCUUUAGUUGGAAGACAGGUCCUAAAAUAUCAACAAAAAACUUAAAUUUCAGCCCGAUCGAAGUUACAGAUCUCCGACUAUAAAAGAACGGUGCUCGACCUCAGAAAAGUACCGAAAACAUGAGACAAAAAGAGAGAGAUCCAAUCUAGGGAGAGCUUCCUAUCUCCCCGGAGGGCCAUGGAAGAUGAAGAAGAAGGGGGCUUCCCCCUCUCAUUCGGUGGCGCCUGGACACCGCAGGGGGCAUCUCCACCAUCACCAUCACCAACAACUCUCUCUCUCUGUUCUCAUGGUGAUGUGUGAGUAGUCCCCCGUUCGGGAUGAGGGUACUCCCCCCCCUCCAGGAUAAGGGUACUCCCUCUGUUCGGUGAAGAGUGUACAUUUGGCUUUAAAUUUUGUCCAUAAAGAGUGUGCUCCUAUCUUCCCAAUGUACUUUAAAGUAGAAAACAAGGUUUCUCUCUCAUCACUCGGUAAUCAAGACCAAUAACAUUGUACACAUGGUCUGCUUAAUUUCUACAUGCACUUAGCUCAUUGGGGGUUGGGUAGUUAAAAAGGAGAGAAAUAGUGAAUUGUAACUUUUCAAUGCAUUUUUUACUUCACUCCAUAAUUUGUCCUAAAAAAUUUAUAUGUACAUUUUCACCAAACGGAGGGAGUAUGUACUGCUAGGUAUGUGUUUGAUACCUCUCUCUCCCAUGUUUUCGAAAGUUUCUGAUCUUGAUUGUAUCAUGAGCUUUAUGAAUAUGGAUCAUAUGUGUUGGGGAACGUUGCAUGCAAAACAAAACAAAAAUUCUACUCACACGCAACAUCUAUCCAUGGAGAUGCAUAGCUACGAGAGGGGGAAAGCAUCUUCAUACCCUUGAAGAUCGCUAAGCGGAAUCGUUUAUCAACGCGGUUGAUGUAGUCGUACACCUUCACGAUCCGCCCCGAUCAAGUACCGAAAGUACGACACCUCCGCGUUCAGCACACGUUCAGCUUGAUGACGUCCUCGUCUUCUCGAUCCAGCAAGAGAGGCGAAGUAGUAGAUGAGUUCCGGCAGCACGGCGGCGUGGUGACGGUGGUGGUGAAGAACAAUCUACGCAGGGCUUCGCCAAGCACAACAGAAACUAUGACGUCGGAUAAAUUAGAAGGGGCAGGGGUGCCGGCACACGACUUGCUGAAUCUUGAUCUGUAUUAGGUGCUAGCCCCGCCCUUCUAUUUAUAUGUUGAGCCAUGGGGUCGUUUAUUGGAGAAAGAGCCUCCUCAAAGUCGGUUUAGCCCGCAAGGCAAGAGUCCAUCUCGGACUCCAGGACCAGAUGCCAGGGUCCUUGGCAUCUGGCCCCAGGCGCCAGGGUGGCUGACGUCUGGCCCCUUGGCCUCCGCAAAACUCCAUUUGCACCUUCCUAAAGCCUCAUGGGCGUUACCCCUUGGCCCAAAUAAAGUGUUCUCGUACACGACCAUUUCGGGAAGCAUACGAAACCCUUCCGGUGAAUUCUGGAACCCUUCCGGAGACCAAACACUAUUAUCCCAUAUAUCAAUAUUUACCUCCGGACUAUUCCGGAGUUCCUCGUCAUGUCCGUGAUCUCAUCCAGUACUCCGAACAUUCGGUCACCAACAUACAUAACUCAUAUAAUAUUAUAUCGUCAACGAACAUUAAGCGUGCGGACCCUACGGGUUCGAGAAUGAUGUAGACAUGACCGAGACGCUUCUCCGGUCAAUAACCAAUAGCGGGACCUGGAUGCCCAUAUUGGUUCCUACAUAUUCUAUGAAGAUCUUUAUCGGUCGAACCUUUAUGACAACAUACGUAGUUCCCUUUGUUCGUCGGUAUGUUACUUGCCCAAGAUUCGAUGUCGGUAUCUUCAUACCUAGUUCAAUCUCAUUAUCGGUAAGUCUCUUUACUCGUUCAUCUUGUAACUAACUCCUUGGUCACUUUGCUUGCAAGUUUCUUGUGAUGUUGUAUUGCCGAGAGGGCCCAGAGAUACCUCUCCAUCAUACAGAGUGACAAAUCCCAGUCUCGAUUCAUGCCAACUCAACAGACACCUUCGGAGAUACCUGUAGAACAUCUUUAUGAUCACCCAAUUACAUUGUGAUGUUUGAUAGCACACAAGGUAUUCCUCCGGUAUCUGGGAGUUGCAUGAUCUCAUGGUCGAAGGAAUAUGUAUUUGACAUUAAGAAAGUAGUGGCAAUAAACUGAACGAUCAUAUGCUAAGCUAACGGAUGAGUCUUUUCCAUCACAUCAUUCUCCUAAUGAUGUGAUCCCGUUAUCAAGCGACAACACAUGUCUAUGGUUAGGAAACCAUAACCAUUUUUUGAUCAAUGAGCUAGUCUAGUAGAGGCAUACUAGGGACUUGGUAUUUGCUUAUGUAUUCACACAUGUAUUUAAGUUUCCAAUCAAUACAAUUCUAGCAUGAAUAAUAAACCUUUAUUAUGAUUAAGGAAAUAUAAUAAUAAUAACUUUAUUAUUACCUCUAGGGCAUAUUUCCAACAGUCUCCCACUUGCACUAGAGUCAAUAAUCUAGAUUACAUAGUAAUGAAUCUAACACCCAUGGAGUCUUGGUGUUGGUCAUGUUUUGCCCGCGGAAGAGGUUUAGUCAACGGGUCUGCCACAUUCAGAUCCAUAUGUACUUUGCAAAUUUGUAUGUCCCCAUCCUUGACCUUUUCACAUAUGGAGUUGAAGCGUAUCUUGAUGUGUUUGGUUCUCUUGUGAAACCUUGAUUCCUUCGCUAAGGCAAUUGCUCCAGUGUUGUCACAAAAGAUUGUCAUUGUACCUAAUGCACUAGGUAUUACACCCAGAUCGGAUAUGAACUCCUUCAUCCAGACUCCUUCAUGUGCUGCCUCUGAAGCAGCUAUGCACUCCGCUUCACACAUAGAUCCCGCCACGACACUCUGCUUGGAACUGCAUCAACUGAUAGCUCCAUCAUUCAAUAUAAAUGCAUAUCCGGUUUAUGACUUAGAGUCAUCCGGAUCUGUGUCGAAGCUAGCAUUGACGUAACCUUUUGCGAUGAGCUCUUUGUCACCUUCAUAAACGAGAAACGUAUCCUUGGUCCUUUUCAGGUACUUCGGAAUGUUCUUGACUACUGUCCAGUGAUCCACUCCUGGAUUACUUUGGUACCUCCCUGCCAAACUUAUGGCAAGGCACACAUUAGAUCUAGUACACGGCAUGACAUACAUAAUAGAACCUAUGGCUGCGGCAUAGGGAAUGACUUUCAUUUUCUCUCUAUCUUCUGUCAUGGUCGGACUUUGAGUCUGACUCAAUUUCACACCUUGCAACACAGGAAAGAACCCUUUCUUUGACUGGUCCAUUUUGAACUUCUUCAGAACUUUGUCAAGGUAUGUGCUUUGUGAAAGUCCUAUUAAGCGUCUCGAUCUAUCCCUAUAGAUCUUGAUGCCCAAUAUAUAAGCAGCUUCACUGAGGUCUUUCAUUGAAAAACUCUUAUUCAAGUAUCCUUUUAUGAUAUCAAGAAAUUUUAUAUCAUUUCCAAUCAGCAAUAUGUCAUCCACAUAUAAUAUCAGAAAUUAAUGCUACAGAGCUCCCACUCACUUUCUUGUAAAUAUAGGCUUCACCGUAAGUCUGUAUAAAACCAUAUGCUUUGAUCACCUCAUCAAAGCGUAUAUUCCAACUCUGAGAUGCUUGCACCAGUCCAUAGAUGGAUCGCUGGAGCUUGCCCACUUUGUUAGCACCUUUAGGAUCGACAAAACCUUCUGGUUGCAUCAUAUACAACUCUUCUUUAAUAAACUCGUUAAGGAAUGUAGUUUUAAUAUCCAUUUGCCAGAUUUCAUAAUCAUAAAAUGAGGCAAUUGCUAACAUGAUUCGGAUAGACUUAAGCAUCGCUAUGGGUGAGAAAGUCUCAUCGUAGUCAACCCUUUGAACUUGUCCAAAACCUUUUGCGACAAGUCAAGCUUAGUAAAUAGUGAUAUUACCAUCAGCGUCCGUCUUCUUCUUGAAGAUCCAUUUAUUCUCAAUGGCUUGCCGAUCAUCGAGCAAGUCCACCAAAGUCCACACUUUGUUCUCAUACAUGGAUCCUAUCUCAGAUUUCAUGGCCUCGAGCCAUUUAUCGGAAUCUAGGUUCAUCAUAGCUUCUUCAUAGUUCGUAGGUUCUGUUGGGGAACGUAGCAUGCAAUUUCAAAAAAAAUCCUAUGAUCACGCAAGAUCUAUCUAGGAGAUGCAUAGAAACGAGAGGGGGAGAGUGUGUCCACAUACCCUCGUAGACCGAAAGCGGAAGCGUUAGUUCAACGCGGUUGAUGUAGUCGAUCGUCUUCUCGAUUCAACCGAUCAAGUACCGAACGUACGACACCUCCGAGUUCUGCACACGUUCAGCUCGAUGACGUCCCCCGAACUCUUGAUCCAGCAAAGUGUCGAGGGAGAGUUUCAUCAGCACGAUGGUGUAGUGACGGUGAUGGUGAAGUGAUCCGCACAGGGCUUUGCCUAAGCACUACGACAAUAGGACCAGAGGCGUAAACUGUGGAGGGGAGCGCCGCACACGGCUAACAAUGUUUGCUGUGUGUUCUAGCGGUGCCCCCUCAUAUAUAUAGGUUGGAGGGGAGGAGAGGCAGCCAAGGGGGCGCCCCAAGUAGGAGGAAUCCUACUUGGGCACCUCCCAAUUCGGCCUCCCCCCUUUCCUAUUCCUAUUCGGAGUAGGAAGGGAAGAGGGGGAAGGGGGAAUCCUAUUCCCUUUUUCCUUUCCUCCUUCCCCUUUCCUUCUCCAAUUUGGCCAGCCCAUAUGGGAGGAGCGCACCAGCCCCUUUGUGGCUGUUGUGUUUUCCCUCUCCCAUAAGACCCAUAUAGUUUGCCGAGGGUAGCCCGGAACCCCUUCCGGUGACCCGAUACGUACCCGGUACCCCCGUAACACUUCCGGUGUCCAAAUACUAUCGUCCUAUAUAUGAAUCUUUACCUCUCGAUCAUUUCGAGACUCCUCAUCAUGUCGGUGAUCUCAUCUGGGACUCUGGACAACAUUCCAUCACCAAAUCACAUAACUCAUAUAAUACAAAAUCGUCAUUGAACGUUAAGCGUGCGGACCCUACGGGUUCGAGAACUAUGUAGACAUGACCGAGACACCUCUCCGGUCAAUAACCAAUAGCGGAAACUAGAUGCUCAUAUUGGUUCCCACGUAUUCUAUGAAGAUCUUUAUCGAUCGUAUCAUAAUGACAACAUACGUUAUCCCCUUUGUCAUCGGUAUGUUACUUGCCCGAGAUUCGAUCGUCAGUAUGUUCAUACCUAGUUCAAUCUCGUUAUCGGCAAGUCUCUUUACUCGUUUCGUAAUGCAUCAUCCCGCAACUAACUCAUUAGUCACAUUGCUUGCAAGGCUUAUCAUGAUGUGCAUUACCGAGAGGGCCCAGAGAUACCUCUCCGAUACUCGGAGUGACAAAUCCUAAUCUCGAUCUAUGACAACCCAACAAAUGCCUUCGGAUAUACCUGUAGAUCAUCUUUAUGAUCACCCAGUAUGUUGUGACGUUUGAUAGCUGACGAUGUCCUGGACUAGGGGGGUAUUCCUCCGGUAUUCGGGAGUUGCAUAAUCUCAUAGUCAAAGGAAUAUGUAUAAGUCAUGAAGAAACCAAUAACAAUAAAACUUAACGAUCAUUAUGCUAAGCUAACGGAUGGGUCUUGUCCAUCACAUCAUUCUCCUAAUGAUGUGACCCCGUUCAUAAAAUGAUAACACAUGUCUAUGGUUAGGAAACUUAACCAUCUUUGAUUAACAAGCUAGUCUAGUAGAGGCUUACUAGGGACACAGUGUUUUGUCAAUGUAUCCACACAUGUAUCAAGUUUCCGGUUAAUACAAUUAUAGCAUGAAUAAUAAACAUUUAUCAUGAUAUAAGGAAAUAAAAAAUAAAAAAUUUAUUAUUGCCUCUAGGGCAUAUUUCCUUCAGUCUCCCACUUGCACUAGAGUCAAUAAUCUAGUUCACAUCGCCAUGUGAUUUAACACUAAUAGUUCACAUCUUUAUGUGAUUAACACCCAUAGUUCACAUCGCCAUGUGACCAACACCCAAAGGGUUUACUAGAGUCAAUAAUCUAGUUCACAUCGCUAUGUGAUUAACACCCAAAGAGUACUGAGGUGUGAUCAUGUUUUGCUUGUGAGAGAAGUUUAGUCAAUGGAUCUGCCACAUUCAGAUCCGUAUGUAUUUUGUAAAUUUUCUAUGUCUACAAUGCUCUGCACGGAGCUACUCUAGCUAAUUGCUCCCACUUUUAAUAUGUAUCCAAAUUGAGACUCAUAGUCAUCUGGAUCGGUGUAAAAGCUUGCAUCGACGUAACUCUUUACGAUGAACUCUUUAUCACCUCCAUAACCGAGAAAUAUUUCCUUGGUCCUCUAAGGAUAAUUUUGACCGCUGUCUAGUGAUCUACUCCUGGAUCACUAUUGGUACCUCCCUGCCAGACUUAUGGCAAGGCACACAAUAGGUUUGGUACACAGCAUGGCAUACUUUAUAGAACCUAUAAUUGAAGCAUAUGGAAUGACUUUCGUUCUCUCUAUAUAUUCUGCUGUGGUUGGGUUUUGAGUCUUACUCAACUUCACACCUUGUAACACAUGUAAGAACCCUUUCUUUGACUAAUCCAUUUUGAACUCCUUCAAAAUCUUGUGGAGGUAUGUGCUUUGUGAAAGUCCUAUCAAGUGUCUUGAUCUAUCUCUAUAGAUCUUGAUGCUCAAUAUAUAAGUAGCUUCACCGAGGUCUUUUAUUGAAAAAAUCUUAUUCAAGUAUUCUUUUAUGCUAUCCAGAAAUUCUAUAUCAUGCCUGAUCAACAAUAUGUCAUCCACAUAUAAUAUCAGAGCUCCCACUCACUUUCUUGUAAAUACGGGCUUCACCAUAAGUCUGUAUAAAACCAUAUGUUUUAAUCACCUUAUCAACGCGUAUAUUCCAACUCCGAGAUGCUUGCACCAGUUCCAUAGAUGGAUCGUUGGAGCUUGCACACUGUGUUAGCACCUUUAGGAUCGACAAAACCUUUGGUUGCAUCAUAUACAACUCUUCUUUAAGAAAUCCAUUAAGCAAUGCAGUUUUGACAUCCAUUUUCCAGAUUUCACAAAAUGUGGCAAUUGCUAACAUGAUUCAGACAGACUUAAGCAUUGCUACGAGUGAGAAAAUCUCAUCGUAGUCAACACCUUGAACUUGUUUGAAAACAUUUUGUGACAAUUCAUGCUUUGUAGAUAGUAACACUACCAUCAUCGUCCGUCUUCCUUGUGAAGAUCCAUUUAUUCUCAAUGUCUUGCUGAUCAUUGGGCAAGUCCACGGAAGUCCAUACUUUGUUCUCAUACAUGGAUCCUAUCUCAGAUUUCACGGCCUCAAGCCAUUUUGCGGAAUCUGGGCUCAUCAUCGCUUCCUCAUAGUUCGUAGGUUCGUCAUGGUCUAGUAACAUGACUUCGAGAACAGGGUUACCGUACCACUCUAGUGCGGAACAUGCUCUGGUUGACCUACGAGGUUCAGUAGUAACUUGAUCUGAAGUUUCAUGAUCAUUAUCAUUAGCUUCCUCUCUUGUUGGUGCAAACAUCAUGGAAACGGUUUUCUAUGAUGAGCAGCUUUCCAAUUCGAGAGAAGGUACAAUUACCUCAUCAAGUUCUACUUUCCUCCCACUCACUUCUUUUGAGAGAAACUCCUUCUCUAGAAAGGAUCCAUUCUUAUCAACUAAGAUCUUGCCUUCGGAUCUGUGAUAGAAGGUAUACCGAACUGUUUUUUUGGGUAUCCUAUGAAGACACACUUCUCCAAUUUGGGUUCGAGCUUAUCAAGCUGAAACUUUUUCACAUAAGUAUCGCGACCCCAAACUUUAAGAAACGACAACUUAGGUUUCUUGCCAAAGCAUAGUUCAUACGGUGUCAUCUCAAUGGAUUUAGAUGGUGCCUUAUUUAACGUGAAUGCAGCUGUCUCUAAUGCAUAACCCCAAAACGAUAGUGGUAAAUCGGUAAGAGACAUCAUAGAUCAUACCAUAUCUAAUAAAGUGUGGUUACGACGUUCAGACACACCAUUACGCUGUGGUGUUCCAGGUGGCGUGAGUUGUGAAACUAUUCCACAUUAUUUUAAAUGAAGGCCAAACUCAUAACUCAAAUAUUCGCCUCCGCGAUCAGAUUGUAGAAACUUUAUUUUCUUGUUACGAUGAUUCUCCACUUCACUCUGAAAUUCUUUGAACUUUUCAAAUUUUCAGACUUGUGUUUCAUUAAGUAGAUAUACCCAUAUCUGCUCAAAUCAUCAGUGAAGAUUAGAAAAUAAUGAUACCUGCCGCGAGCUUCAACACUCAUUGGACUGCAUACAUCGGUAUGUAUUAUUUCCAAUAAGUCAUUAGCUCGCUCCAUUGUUCCGGAGAACAGAGUUUUAGUCAUCUUGCCCAUGAGGCAUCGUUCGCAAGCAUCAAAUGAUUCAUAAUCAAGUGAUUCCAAAAGCCCAUAUGCAUGGAGUUUCUUCAUGCGUUUUACACCAAUGUGACCUAAACGGCAGUGCCACGAAUAUGUUGCACUAUCAUUAUCAACUUUGCAUCUUUUGGCAUCAAUAUUAUGAAUAUGUGUAUUACUACGAUCGAGAUUCAAUAAACCGUUCACAUUGGGUGUAUGACCAUAGAAGGUUUUAUUCAUAUAAACAGAACAACAAUUAUUUUGUGACUUAAAUGAAUAACCGUAUUGCAAUAAACAUGAUCUAAUCAUAUUAAUGCUCAAUGCAAACACCAAAUAACAUUUAUUUAGGUUUAAUUCUAAUCCCAAAGGUAGAGGGAGUGUGUGAUGGUGAUCGUAUCAACCUUGGAAUUACUUCGAACACACAUCGUCACCUCGUCCUUAACUAGUCUCUGUUUAUUUUGCAACUCCUGUUUCGAGUUACUACUCUUAGCAACUGAACCAGUAUCAAAUACCGAGGGGUUGCUAUAAACACUAGUAAAGUACACAUCAAUAACAUGUCUAUCAAAUAUGUUGGGGAACACAAUAUUUCAAAAAUUUACCUACGAUCACGCAAGAUCUAUCUAGGAGAUGCAUAGCAACGAGAGGGCAGAGUGUGUCUACGUACCCUCAUAGCCUGAAAGCGGAAGCGUUUAGUAACGCGGUUGAUGUAGUCGAACGUCUUCGCGAUCCAUGAUGUCUACUACACAAUCUUAUUCUUGUAGACGUUGUUGGACCUCCAAGUGCAUAGGUUUGUAGGACAGUAGCAAAUUUCCCUCAAGUGGAUGACCUAAGGUUUAUCAAUCUGUGGGAGGCGUAGGAUGAAGAUAGUCUCUCUCAAACAACCCUGCAACCAACUAACAAAGAGUCUCUUUGUGUCCCCGACACACCCAAUACAAUGGUAAAUUGUAUAGGUGCACUAGUUCGCGAAGAGAUGGUGAUACAAGUGCAAUAUGGAUGGUAGAUAUAGGUUUUUGUAAUCUGAAAAUAUAAGAACAGCAAGGUAACUAAUGAUAAAAAUGAGCAAAAACGGUAUUGCAAUGCGUUGAAACAAGGCCUAGGGUUCAUACUUUCACUAGUGCAAGUUCUCUCAACAAUAAUAACAUAAUUGGAUCAUAUAACUAUCCCUCAAUAUGCAACAAGGAGUCACUCGAAAGUCACUAAUAGCGGAGAACAGACGAAGAGAUUAUUGUAGGGUACGAAGCCACCUCAAAGUUAUCCUUUCUGAUCGAUCUAUUCAAGAGUCCGUAGUAAAAUAACACAAAGCUAUUCUUUCCGUUCGAUCUAUCCUAGAGUUCGUACUAGUAUAACACCUUAAGACACAAAUCAACCAAAACCCUAAUGUCACCUAGAUAUUCCAAUGUCACCUCAAGUAUCCGUGGGUAUGAUUAUACGAUAUGCAUCACACAAUCUCAGAUUCAUCUAUUCAAACAACACAAAGAACUUCAAAGAGUGCCCCAAAGUUUCUACCAGAGAGUCAAGAUGAAAACAUGUGCCAACCCCUAUGCAUAAGUUCACAAGGUCACGGAACUCACAAGUUGAUCACCAAAACAUAUAUCAAGUGGAUCACGUGAAUAUCCCAUUCUCACCACAGAUAAGCACAUGCAAGACAUACAUCAAGUGUUCUCAAAUCCUUAAAGACUCAAUCUGAUAAGAUAACUUCAAAGGGAAAACUCAACCCAUUAAAAGAGAGUAGAGGGGGAGAAACAUCAUAAGAUCCAACUAUAAUAGCAAAGCUCACGAUACAACAACAUCGUGCCGAAUCAAGAACAUGAGAGAGAGAGGGAGAGAUCAAACACAUAGCUACUGGUACAUACCCUCAGCCCCGAGGGUGAACUACUCCCUCCUCGUCAUGGAGUGCCGGGAUGAUGAAGAUGGCCACCGGAGAGGGAUUCCCCCCCUCCGGCAGGGUGCCAGAACGGGUCUAGAUUGGUUUUCGGUGGCUACAGAGGCUUGCGUUAGCGGAACUCCUGAUCUAGGUUUCUUUUUGGAAGUUUGGGGUUAUAUAAGAGGCGUUGGAGUCGGGAACAAGUCAGGGGGGUCCACGAGGUGGCCAUGAGGUAGGGGGAGUGCCCAGGGGGGUAGGGCGCCCCCCCACCCUCGUGGGUGCCUCGGGACUCCUCUGGCCCAUCUCCAAUACUCUGUGGGCUUCUUCUGGUCCAAAAACAAUCUCCGCAAAUUUUCAGGUCAAUUGGGCUCCAUUUGAUAUUCCUUUUUUGCGAAACUCAAAAGCAAGGAAAAAACAGAAGUGGCACUGGGCUCUAGGUUAGUCCCAAAAAUCAUAUAAAAUAGAAUAUAAAUGCAUAUAAAACAUCCUAGAUGGAUAAUAUAAUAGCAUGGAACAAUAAAAAAUUAUAGAUGCGUUGGAGACGUAUCAAGCAUCCCCAAGCUUAAUUCCUGCUUGUCCUCGAGUAGGUAAAUGAUAAAAACAGAAUUUUUGAUGUGGAAUGCUACAAAAUCAUAUAGUCUGCUCGUCAUCAAUGUAAUCUUCUCUAUUGUGGCAAGAAUAUUCAGACCCAAUAAGAUUCAAGACAAAAGUUUAAUAUUGACAUGAUAAUAAUAAUAAUAAUAAUAAUAAUAAUACUUCAAGCAUACUAACCAAGCAAUCAUGUCAUCAUACAAAAUAUUUAAAUCAUGCACAACCCCGAUGACAAGCCAAGCAAUUGUUUCAUACUUUUGAUGCUCUCAAACUUUUUCAAUCUUCACGCAAUACAUGAGCUUGAGCCAUGGACAUAGCACUAUGGGUGGAAUAGAAUGGUGGUUGCGGAGAAGACAAAAAGGAGAAGAUAGUCUCACAUCAACUAGGCAUAUCCACGGGCUAUGGAGAUGCCCAUCAAUAGAUAUCAAUGUGAGUGAGUAGGGAUUGCCAUGCAACGGAUGCACUAGAGCUAUAAGUGUAUGAAAGCUCAACAAAAGAAACUAAGUGGGUGUGCAUCCAACUUGCUUGCUCACGAAGACCUAGGGCAUUUUGAGGAAUCCCAUCAUUGGAAUAUACAAGCCAAGUUCUAUAAUGAAAGAUUCUCACUAGUAUAUGAAAGUGACAACAUAGGAGACUCUCUAUCAUGAAGAUCAUGGUGCUACUUUGAAGCACAAGUGUGGUAAAAGGAUAGUAGCAUUGUCCCUUCUCUCUUUUUCUCUCAUUUUUUAUUUUUAUUUUUAUUUUUUAUUUGGGCCUUUUCUCUUUUUUAUGGACUCUUUUGUUUCAUCCGGAGUCUCAUCCCGACUUGUGGGGGAAUCAUAGUCUCCAUUAUCCUUUCCUCGCAUGGGACAAUGCUCUAAUAAUGAUGAUCAUCACACUUUUAUUUACUUACAACUCAAGAAUUACAACUCGAUACUUAGAACAAAAUAUGACUCUAGGUGAAUGCCUCCGGCGGUGUACCAGGAUGUGCAAUGAAUCAAGAGUGACAUGUAUGAAAAAUUAUGAAUGGUGGCUUUGCCACAAAUACGAUGUCAACUACAUGAUCAUGCCAAGCAAUAUGACAAUGAUGGAGCGUGUCAUAAUAAAUGGAACGGUGGAAAGUUGCAUGGCAAUAUACCUCGGAAUGGCAAUGGAAAUGCCAUAAUAGAUAGGUAUGGUGGCUGUUUUGAGGAAGGUAAAUGGUGGGUUUAUGGCACCGACGAAAGUUGCGCGCUGCUAGAGAGGCUAGCAAUGGUGGAAGGGUGAGAGACUGAGAGUGCGUAUAAUCCGUGGACUCAACAUUAGUCAUAAAGAACUCACAUACUUAUUGCAAAAAUCUAUUAGUUAUCGAAACAAAGUACUAUGUGCAUGCUCCUAGGGGGAUAGAUUGGUAGGAAAAGACCAUCGCUCGUCCCCGACCGCCACUCAUAGGGAAGGCAAUCAAAAAAAUAAAUCAUGCUCCGACUUCAUCACAUAACGGAUCACCAUACGUGCAUGCUACGGGAAUCACAAACUUUAACACAAGUAUCUCUCAAAUUCACAACUACUCAACUAGCAUGACUCUAAUAUCACCAUCUUUAUAUCUCAAAACAAUUAUCAAGUACCAAACUUCUCAUAGUAUUCAAUGCACUAUAUAUGAAAGUUUUUAUUAUAGCCAUCUUGGAUGCCCAUCAUAUAAGGACUAGUUUCAUAACCAAAGCAAAUUACCAUGCUGUUUAAGACUCUCAAAAUAAUAUAAGUGAAGCAUGAGAGUUCAUCUAUUUCUUCAAAAUAAAACCACAACCAUGCUCUAAAAAGAUAUAAGUGAAGCACUAGAGCAAAUGACAAACUACUCCAAAAGAUAUAAGUGAAGAUCAAUGAGUAGUUGAAUAAUUAUGUAACUAUAUGAAGACUCUCUAACAUUUAAGAAUUUAAGAUCUUGGUAUUUUAUUCAAACAGCAGACAAAAUAAAAAAAAAUGAUGCUCCAAGCAAAACACAUAUCAUGUGGUGAAUAAAAAUAUAGCUCCAAGUAAAGUUACCGAUGAACGAAGACGAAAGAGGGGAUGCCAUCCGGGGCAUCCCCAAGCUUAGGCUGUUGGUUGUCCUUGAAUAUUACCUUGGGGUUCCUUGGGCAUCCCCAAGCUUAGACUCUUGCCACUACUUAUUCCAUAGUCCAUCGAAUCUUUACCCAAAACUUGAAAACUUCACAACACAAAACUCAAUAGAAGACUCGUAAGCUCCGUUAGUAUAAGAAAAUAAAUCACCACUUAGGUGCUGUUGUGAACUCAUUAUAAAUUCAUAUUGGUGUAAUAUCUACUGUAUUCCAGCUUCUCUAUGGUUCAUACCCUCCGAUACUACUCAUAGAUUCAUCAAAAUAAGCAAACAACACAAUGAAAACAUAAUCUAUGAAAAACAGAACAGUCUGUAGUAAUCUGGAUAUUUCGAAUACUUAUGUAACUCCAAAAAUUCUGAAAAAUUAGGAAGACCAGGACAAUUUGUAUAAUGAUCUACUGCAGUUGGAAUUGGUAUUUUAUCGCUCUUUGGUAAAAAAUUAAAAUUAUUUUCGUGAGAGCAUACUUUCUGUUUCUGUCAGCAAGAUCAAACAACAAUCACCCAAGAAGAUCCUAAAGCCUCUACUUGGCACAAACACUAAUUAAAACAUAAAACGACAUCUAACCAGAGGCUAGAUAGAUUAUUUAUUACUAAACAGGAGCAAAAGGCAAAGAACAAAAAUAAAAUUGGGUUGCCUCCCAACAAGCGCUAUCGUUUAACGCCCCUAGCUAGGCAUGGUGAUUUCAAUGAUGCUCACAUUAAAGAUAAGAAUUGAAACAUAAAGAGAGUAUCAUGAAGAAUAUGACUAGCACAUUUAAGUCUAACCCACUUCCUAUGCAUAGGGAUUUUGUGAGCAAACAAUUUAUGGGAACAAUAAUCAACUAGCAUAGGAAAGCAAAAUAAGCAUAACUUCAAGAUUUUAAGCACAUAGAGAGGAAACUUGAUAUUAUUGCAAUUCCUACAAGCAUAUAUUCCUCACUCAUAAAAAAUUUCAGUAGCAUAAUGAAUGAAUUCAACAAUAUAACCAUCACAUAAAGCAUUAUUUUCAUGAUCCCCAAGCAUAGAGAAUUUACUACUCUCAACAUAAGCAAAAUUCUUCUCAUUCAGAAUAGUGGGAGUAUCAUAAGAAAAUCAAAUACUAUAAAUUGUUUCCAUAUUAAAAGAGUAAUGUUCAGAAAAAGGCUAAUCAUAAUCAUGACAAGUUUUGUAAAUAUAAUCAUCACUACUUUUUAUAACAUAAGUAUCAUCACAAUAAUCAUCAUAAGUAGCGACUUUGUUCUCAUCAUAAUCAAUUGAAACCUCUUCCAAGAUAGUGGAAUCAUUACUAAAUAAAGUCAUGACCUCUCCAAAUCCACUUUCAUAAUUAUCACAAUAAGAUUCAACGCCCUCCAAAAUAAUCUGAUCAUUACUUCCUAAAGUUGACACUCUUCCAAACCCACUUUCAUUAAUAUAAUCAUCAUAAAUAGGAGGCAUGCUAUCAUCAUAAAAAAAAUUCUCAUCAAAACUUGGGAGGCUAAAAAUAUCAUCUUCAUUAAACAUAGCAUCCCCAAGCUUGGGACAAACAUUAAUUGCAGCAAAUAAAUUCUCAAACAUGUCAUUGUCAUCAAACAUAGCAUCCCCAAGCUUGGGCCUUUUCAUAUCAUAAGCAUAAUCACUCUCAUCAUUAAUAGUAUGGAUAACACCAAUAGUAUAGCAAUUAUCAUCAUCACAAUGAGUAAUAGGAGCAACAUCAUUUGGGAGGGAUACCUUUUUAUCUUUGCUUCUCCGUCUUUUCUUUUUCUUCUUCACAUUAUGUGUGGGUUUCAUCCUCUUUUUGGAGCUCCUUAUUAAUGAGAUUGGUCGAAUAGAAGGCUCCUCCUCGUUACCUGAUUCAUCAUAAGAAAUAAUAGGAGGAUAUUGGGAAGUCUAUUCCCUUUCAUUAGUAUUUUCUUCAUCUUCUAUUUGUUUUCUUGUCUUUAUGUAAUUGGCAAUAUAAGGAUUUUCAAAGCAAUUUACCGCACAAUACACAUAAAUUUCCUCUAGAUCAAAAUCAAGAACUUUAUCAAGGACAAAUUCUGGAAGAUCCUUAGUUAUACGUUUCAUUUAUUCAUAACCCACAAGCAAACUAAGUUCAUUAUGAUGUGCAAGGGAAAUCAAGUCAUCAUAAUUUUUGGACACGAUUCGAUCAUGAAACAAUUUGCAUUGGAGAUUUAAAUGAUCACGUUCAUUGCAAAGUUCACAAGGAUGGGAAAGAAAUUUUAAAUUUUCAGCACAAGCAUUUAGCCUCUCUUGCAACCAUUUAGUUUCUAAAUACUUAUGCCUCUUGCAAAAUCUAUCUUCCCUAUUUGGUGUGUUCUUGCAAGCUCUAUGCACUCCACAAAAAAUUGAAAUGCUUAUAAGAGACAUUUUCAUCAUGACUAGUGCAAUCAUCAUUCGUACUAUGGAUAUUCAAAGAGUUCCUACCAACAACAUUGCAAUCAUGCUCAUCAUUCAAAUAUUUAGUACCAAACAUUUUAAUGCAUUCUUCUUCUAACACUUGAGCACAAUUUUCCUUUCCAUCAUUUUCACGAAAUGUAUUAAAAAGAUGCAGCAUAUGAGGCACCCUCAAUUCCAUUUUUUUGUAGUUUUCUUUUAUAAACUAAACUAGUGAUAACAUAAGAAACUAAAAGAUUCCAUUGCAAGAUGUAAAUAUAUACCUUCAAGCGCUAAGCACCCCGGCAACGGCGCCAGAAAAGAGCUUGAUGUCUACUACACAACCUUCUUGUAUACGUUGUUGGGCCUCCAAGUGCAGAGGUUUGUAUAGCAAAUUUCCCUAAAGUGGAUGACCUAAGGUUUAUCAAUCCGUGGGAGGCGUAGGAUGAAGAUGGUCUCUCUCAAACAACCCUGCAACCAAAUAACAAAGAGUCUCUUGUGUCCCCAACACACCCAAUACAAUGGUAAAUUGUAUAGGUGCACUAGUUCGCGAAGAGAUGGUGAUACAAGUGCAAUAUGGAUGGUAGAUAUAGGUUUUUGUAAUCUGAAAAUAUAAGAACAGCAAGGUAACUAAUGAUAAAAAUGAGCAAAAAUGGUAUUGCAAUGCGUUGAAACAAGGCCUAGGGUUCAUACUUUCACUAGUGCAAGUUCUCUCAAUAAUAAUAACAUAAUUGGAUCAUAUAACCAUCCCUCAACAUGCAACAAAGAGUCACUCCAAAGUCACUAGUAGCGGAGAACAAACGAAGAGAUUAUUGUAGGGUACGAAACCACCUCAAAGUUAUCCUUUCUGAUCGAUCUAUUCAAGAGUCCGUAGUAAAAUAACACAAAGCUAUUAUUUCUGUUCGAUCUAUCCUAGAGUUCGUACUAGAAUAACACCUUAAGACACAAAUCAACCAAAACCCUAAUGUCACCUAGAUAUUCCAAUGUCACCUCAAGUAUGGGUAUGAUUAUACCAUAUGCAUCACACAAUCUCAAAUCCAUCUAUUCAACCAACACAAAGUACUUCAAAGAGUGCCCCAAAGUUUCUACCAGAGAGUCAAUACGAAAAUGUGUGCCAACCCCUAUGCAUAAGUUCACAAGGUCACGGAACUCGCAAGUUGAUCACCAAAACAUACAUCAAGUGGAUCACGUGAAUAUUCCAUUGUCACCACAGAUAAGCACAUGCAAGACAUACAUCAAGUGUUCUCAAAUCCUUACAGACUCAAUCCGAUAAGAUAACUUCAAAGGGAAAACUCAAUCCAUUACAAGAGAGUAGAGGGGGAGAAACAUCAUAAGAUCCAACUAUAAUAGCAAAGCUCGCGAUACAUCAAGAUCGUGCCGAAUCAAGAACACGAGAGAGAGAGAGAGAGAGAGAGAGAGAGAUCAAACACAUAGCUACUGGUACAUACCCUCAGCCCCGAGGGCGAACUACUCCCUCCUCGUCAUGGAGACCGCCAGGAUGAUGAAGAUUGCCACCGGAGAGGGAUUCCCCCCCUCCGGCAGGGUGCUGAAACGGGUCUAGAUUGGUUUUCGGUGGCUACAGAGGCUUGCAGCGGCGGAACUCCCAAUCUAGGUUUCUUUCUGGAAGUUGGGGUUAUAUAAGAGGCGUUGGUGUCGGGAACAAGUCAGGGGGUCCACGAGGCGGCCACGAGGUAGGGGGCGUGCCUAGGGGGGUAGGGAGUGCCCCCACCCUCGUGGGUGCCUCGGGACUCGUCUGGCCCAUCUCCAAUACUCUGUGGGCUUAUUCUGGUCCAAAAAUAAUCUCUGUAAAUUUUCAGGUCAAUUGGGUUCCGUUUGAUAUUCCUUUUCUGUGAAACUCAAAAACAAGGAAAAAAUAGAAACUGGCACUGGCUCUAGGUUAAUAGGUUAGUCCCAAAAAUCAUAUAAAAUAGCAUAUAAAUGCAUAUAAAACAUCCUAGAUGGAUAACAUAAUAGCAGGAACAAUAAAAAAUUAUAGAUACGUUGGAGACGUAUCAAUCCAACCGAUCCAAGUACCGAACGCACGCCACCUCCGCGAUCAGCACACGUUCAGCUCGAUGACAUCCCUCGAACUCUUGAUCCAGUUGAGGCCGAGGGAGGGUUCCGUCAGCACGACGACAUGGUGACGGUGAUGAUGAAGGUACCAACGCAGGGCUUUGCCUAAGCACUACAAUGAUAUGACCGAGGUGUGUAACUAUGGAGGGGGCAUCACACACGGCUAAAAGAUCAACUUGUGUGUCUUUGGGGUGCCCCCUCCCCCUGUAUAUAGAGGAGGGGAAGAGGAGGCCAGCCAAGGUGUGGCGCGCCAAGGGGGGAGUCCUACUUGGACUCCCGAUCCAAGUAGGAUUCGCCCCCUUUCCUAUUCCUACAAGGAGAAGGGGGGAAAGAGGGGAGGGAGAGAAGGAAAGGGGGCCCGCCCCCAACCCUAACCCAAUUUGGAUUGGGCUUGGGGGGGCGCCUCCACCUGGUCGCUGCCUCCUCUCUUCCACUAGAGCCCAUGAAGGGUUCCGGUAACCCCUUGGUACUCCGGAAAAUGCCCGAACCUAUCCGAAACCAUUCUGGUGUCCAAACAUAACCUUGCAAUAUAUCAAUCUUUAUGUCUCGACCAUUUCGAGACUCCUCGUCAUGUCCGUGAUCUCAUCCAGGACUCCGAACAAACUUUGGUUAAUCAAAACACAAAACUCAUAAUACAAAUCGUCAUCGAACGUUAAGCGUGCGGACCCUACGGGUUCGAGAACUAUGUAGACAUGACCGAGAUACAUAUCUGGUCAAUAAGAAAUAGCGGAGCCUGGAUGUUCAUAUUGGCUCCUACAUAUUCUAUGAAGAUAUUUAUCGGUCAAACCACAUAACAACAUACGUUGUUCCCUUUGUCAUCGUUAUGUUACUUACCCGAGAUUCAAUCGUCGGUAUCAUCAUACCUAGUUCAAUCUCGUUACCGGUAAGUCUCUUUACUCGUUUCAUAAUGCAUCAUCCCAUGGCUAACUCAUUAGACACAUUGCUUGCAAGGAUUAUAGUGAUGUGCAUUACUGAGAGGGCCUAGAGAUACCUCUCCAAUACACGGAGUGACAAAUCCUAAUCUUGAUCUAUGCCAACUCAACAAACACCAUCAGAGACACCUGUAGAGCAUCUUUAUAAUCACCCAGUUACGUUGUGAUGUUUGAUAGCACACAAGGUGUUCCUCUGGUAUUUGGGGGUUGCAUAAUCUCAUAGUCUGAGGAACAUGUAUAAGUCAUGAAGAAAGCAAUAGUAGAAGAACUAAACGAUCAUUAUGCUAAGCUAACGAAUGGGUCUUGUACAUCACAUCAUUCUCUAAUUAUCUGAUCCCGUUCGUCAAAUGACAACACAUGUCUAUGGCUAGAAAACUUAUCCAUCUUUGAUUAACGAGCUAGUCAAGUAGAGGCAUACUAGGGACACUCUGUUUGUCUAUGUAUUCACACAUGUACUAAGUUUCUGGUUAAUACAAUUCUAGUGUGAAUAAUAAACAUUUAUCAUGAUACUCCCUCCAUUCGGAAAAGCUUGUCCUUCAAAUGGAUGUAUCUAGCACCAAGUUAGUGCUAGAUACAUCCAUUUGAGGGACAAGCUUGAGACAAGCUUUUUCGGACGGAGGAAGUAUAAGGAAAUAUAAAUAACUUUAUUAUUGCCUCUAGGGCAUAUUCCUUCAAAAUAUACCUUUGUUUAUCACUUUAGCAUCCUUCUUAUCUGCCAAGUAUCUUGGGCAGUUCCACUUCCAGUGACCAUAUCCUUUGAAGUAGAAGCACUCAGUUUCAGGCUUGGGUCUAGCUUUGGGCUUCUUCAUGGGGGUGGCAACUUUCUUGCCAUUCUUUUGAAGUUUCCCUUUCUUUCCCUUUCCCUUUUUCUUGAAACUAGUGGUCUUGUUAACCAUCAACACUUGAUACUAUUUCUUGAUUUCUACCUUCGUCGAUUCCAGCAUCGCGAAGAGCUUGGGAAUCGUUUUUGUCAUCCCUUGCAUAUUAUAGUUCAUCCCGAAGUUCUAGUAACUUGGUGAUAGUGACUAGGGAACUCUGUCAAUCACUAUCUUAUCUGGAAGAUUAACUCCCACUUGAUUCAAGUGAUUGUAGUAUCCAGACAUUCUGAGCACAUGCUCACUGCCUGAGCUAUUCUCCUCCAUCUUGUAGGCAAAUUACUUGUCAGAGGUCUCAUACCUCUCGACAUGGGCAUGAGUCUGAAAUACCAAUUUCAUCUCUUGGAACAUCUCAUGUGCUCUAUGGCAUUCAAACAUUUUUGAAGUCCGGGUUCUAAGCCUUAAAUCAUGGUGCACUAAACUAUCAAGUAGUCAUCAUACCGAGCUUGUCAAACAUUCAUAACGUCUGCAUCUGCUCCUGCAAUAGGUCUGUCACCUAGCGGUGCAUCAAGGACAUAAUUCUUCUAUGCAGCAAUGAGUAUAAUCCUCAAAUCACGGACCUAGUCCGCAUCAUUGCUACUAUCAUCUUUCAACUUAGUUUUCUCUAGGAUCAUAUCAAAAAAAAUAGGGGAGCUAUACGCGAGCUAUUGAUCUACAACAUAGAUAUGCAAAUACUAUCAAGACUAAGUUCAUGAUAAAUUAAGUUCAAUUAAUCAUAUUACUAAAGAACUCCCACUUAGAUAGACAUCCCUCGAGUCAUCUAAAUGAUCAUGGAUCCAUAUCAACUAAACCAUGUCCGAUCAUCACGUGAGAUGGAGUAGUUUCCAAUGGUGAACAUCUCUAUGUUGAUCAUAUCUACUAUAUGAUUCACGUUAGACCUUUCGAUCUCCAGUGUUUCGAGGCUAUGUCUGUACAUGCUAGGCUCAUCAAGUUUAACCUGAGUAUUCCGCAUGUGCAGAACUGUCUUGCACCUGUUGUAUGUGAACGUAGAGCUUAUCACACCCGAUCAUCACGUGGUGUCUCGGCACAACGAACUAUCGCAACGGUGCAUACUCAGGGAGAAUGCUUAUACCUUGAAAUUUAGUGAGGGAUCAUCUUAUAAUGCUACUGCCAUACUAAGCAAAAUAAGAUGCAUAAAAGAUAAACAUCACAUGCAAUCAAAAUAUGUGACAUGAUAUGGCCAUCAUCAUCUUGUGCCUUUGAUCUCCAUAUUCAAAGCACCGUCAUGAUCUACAUCGUCACCGCCUUGACACCUUGAUCUCCAUCGCAACGUCGUGGUCGUCUCGCCAACUAUUGCUUCUACAACUAUCGCUAACGCAUAGUGAUAAAGUAAAGCAAUUACAUGGCGUUUGCAUUUCAUACAAUAAAGUGACAACCAUAAGGCUCCUGCCAGUUGCCGAUUACUUUUACAAAACAUGAUCAUCUCAUACAACAACGUAUAUCACAUCAUGUCUUGACCAUAUCACAUCACAACAUGCCCUGCAAAAACAAGUUAGACGUCCUCUACUUUGUUGUUGCAAGUUUUACGUGGCUGCUAUGGGCUUCUAGUAAGAACCGUUCUUACCUACGCAUCAAAACCACAACGAUGUUUCAUCAAGUUUGAUGUUUUAACCUUCAACAAGGACUGGUUGUAGUCAAAUUUGAUCCAACUAAAGUUGGAGAAACAGACACCCGCUAGCCACCUUGAUGCAAAACAAGUUGCAUGUCUGUCCGUGGAACCGGUCUCAUGAGCGCGGUCAUGUAAGGUUGGUUCGGGCCGCUUCAUCCAACAAUACCGCCGAAACAAAAUAAGACGUUGGUGGUAAGCGGUAUGACUAUCAUCGCCCAUAACUCUUUGUGUUCUACUCGUGCAUAUUGAUACGUCUCCAACGUAUCUAUAAUUUUUGAUUGCUCCAUGCUAUGUUAUCUAAUGUUUUGGGAAAUAUUGGGCUUUAUUAUCCACUUUUAUAUUAUUUUUGGGACUAACCUAUUAACCGGAGGCACAACCCAGAAUUGCUGUUUUUUUGCCUAUUUUAGUGUUUUGAAGAAAAGGAAUAUCAAACGAAGUCGAAACGGAACGAAAUGAACUGGAGAAGUUAUUUUUGGAAGGAAAGCUACCGGAUGGACUUGGACCCCAUGUCAGGAGCCAAGGGAGGUGCUCAUGAGUGAGGGGGGCGCCCCCCUAGGGCACGCCCCCUGCCUCGUGGGGCCCCCGAAGCUCCACCGACGUACUUCUUGCACCCAUAUAUACUCACGUACCCUAAAACUUCCAGAACAGACAAUAGAUCGGGAGUUCCACCGCCAGAAGCCUUCGUAGCCACCGAAAGCCAAUCUAGACCCGUUUCGGCACCCUGCCGGAGGGGGCAAUCCCUCUCCGGUGGCCAUCUUCAUCAUCCCAGUGCUCUCCAUGACGAGGAGGGAGUAGUUCUCCCUCGGGGCUAAGGGUAUGUACCAUUAGCUAUGUGUUUGAUCUCUCUCUCUCUCUCUCUCGUGUUCUUGAGGUGAUACGAUCUUGAUGUAUCAUGAGCUUUGUUAUUAUAGUUGGAUCUUAUGUUUCUCCUCCCCUCUUCUCUCUUGUAAUGAAUUGAGUUUCCCCUUUGAAGUAAUCUUAUCGGAUUGAGUCUUUAAAGAUUUGAGAACACUUGAUGUAUGUCUUGCCGUGCGUAUCUGUGGUGACAAUGGUAUACCGCGUGAUUCACUUGAUGUAUGUUUUGGUGAUCAACUUGCGGGUUCUGCCCAUGAACCUAUGCAUAGGGGUUGGCACACGUUUUUGUCCUGAUUCUCCGGUAGAAACUUUGGGGCACUCUUUGAGGUCAUUUGUGUUGGUUGAAUAGAUGAAUCUGAGAUUGUGUGAUGCAUAUCGUAUAAUCAUACCCACGGAUACUUGAGGUGACAUUGGAGUAUCUAGGUGACAUUAGGGUUUUGGUUGAUUUGUGUCUUAAGGUGUUAUUCUAGUACGGACUCUAGGGCUGUUUGUGACACUUAUAGGAAUAGCCCAACGGAUUGAUUGGAAAGAAUAACUUUGAGGUGGUUUCGUACCCUACCAUAAUCUCUUCGUUCGUUCUUCGCUAUUAGUGACUUUGGAGUGACUCUUUGUUGCAUGUUGAGGGAUAGUUAUGUGAUCCAAUUAUGAUAUUAUUGUUGAGGGAACUUACACUAGCGAAAGUAUGAACCCUAGGCCUUGUUUCAACACAUUGCAAUACCGUUUACGCUCACUUUUAUCAUUAGUUACCUUGCUGUUUUUAUAAUUUCAGAUUACAAAUACCUUUAUCUACUAUCCAUAUACCACUUGUAUCACCAUCUCUUCGCCGAACUAGUGCACCUAUACAAUUUACCAUUGUAUUGGGUCUGUUGGGGACACAAGAGACUCUUUGUUAUUUGGUUGCAAGGUUGCUUGAGAGAGACCAUCUUCAUCCUACGCCUCCUACGAAUUGAUAAACCUUAGGUCAUCCACUUGAGGGAAAUUUGCUACUGUCCUACAGACCUCUGCACUUGGGGGCCCAACAACGUCUACAAGAAGAAGGUUGUGUAGUAGACAUCACAUAUCAUCUACGCAUAGACCUGGCUCGGAUGCCACUGUUGGGGAACGUAACAUGCAAUUUCAAAAAAAAUCCUACGAUCAUACAAGAUCUAUCUAGGAGAUGCAUAGCAACAAGAGGGGGAGAGUGCGUCCACAUACCCUCAUAGACCGAAAGCGGAAGCGUUAGUUUAAUGCGGUUGAUGUAGUCGAACAUCUUCUCAAUUCAACCGAUCAAGUACUGAACGUACGACACCUCCGAGUUUUGCACACGUUUAGCUCGAUGACGUCCCUCGAACUCUUGAUCCAGCAAAGUGUUGAGUGAGAGUUUCGUCAACACGAUGGCGUAUUGACGGUGAUGGUGAAGUGAUUCGUGCAGGGCUUUGCCUAAGCACUACAACAAUAUGACCGGAGGCGUAAACUGUGGAGGGGAGCGCAGCACACGGCUAACAAUGUUUGUUGUGUGUUCUAGCGGUGGCCCCCCUCAUAUAUAUAGGUUGGAGGGGAGGAGAGGCAGCCAAGGGGGCUCCCCAAGUAGGAGGAAGCCUACUUGGGAACUUCCCAAUUCAGCCUCCCCCCUUUCCUAUUCCUAUUCGGAGUAGGAAGGGAAGACGGGGAAGGGGGAAUCCUAUUCCAUUUUUCCUUUCCUCCUUCCCCUUUCCUUCUCCAAUUUGGCCAGCCCAUAUGGGAGGGGCACACCAGACCCUUUGUGGCUGUCGUGUUCCCCUCUUUGCCCAUAAGGCCCAUAUAGUUUGCCGAGGGUAGCCCGGAAGCCCUUCUGGUGAACCAAUACGUACCCGGUACCCCCCGAACACUUCCGGUGUCCAAAUACUAUCAUCCUAUAUAUGAAUCUUUACCUCUUGACCAUUUAGAAACUCCUCGUCAUGUCCGUGAUCUCAUCCAGGACUCUGCACAAACCUCUGCACUUGGAGGCCCAACAACGUCUACAAGAAGAAGGUUGUGUAGUAGACAUCAAGCUCUUUUCUGGCGCCGUUGCCGGGGAGGUGAGUGCUUGAAGGUAUAUCUUUAGAUCUUGCAAUCAAGUCUUUUAGUUUCUUGUUUUAUCACUAGUUUAGUCUAUAAAAGAAAACUAUAAAAAAUGGAAUCGAGUUUGUCUCAUACGCUUCAUCUUUUUAAUAUCUUUUGUGAGUAUGAUGGAAAGGAAAAUUGUGCUCAAGUGCUAGAAGAAGAAAUCUAUAAAAUGUUUGGCACUAAAUAUUUGAAUGAUGAGCAUGAUUGCAAUGUUGUUAGUAUGAAUUCCUUGAAUAUCCAUGAUGCUAAUGAUAUGCAAAGCCACAAGCUUGGGGAAGCUAUGUUUGAUGAAGAUGAUAUAUUUUGUCCCCCAAGUUUUGAUGAGCAAAUUUAUUAUGAUGAAAGCAUGCCUCCUUUCUAUGAUGAUUAUUGUGAUGACUUGUAUGCUAUAAAGAAUAAUGAUAUCCAUGAAUCUUGUCAUCAUGAUUUUAGUUUUCAAUUGGAUUAUGCCUCACAUGAUAAUUAUUUUGUUGAGUUUGCUCCCACUAUUAUUCAUGAGAAGAAUUUUGCUUGUGUGGAGAGUAGUAAAUUUUCUAUGCUUGUAGAUCAUGAAAAGAAUGCUUUAGGUGCUGUUUAUAUUGUUGAAUUAAUUCAUGAUGCUACUGAAAAUUAUUAUGAGGGAGGAAUAUAUGCUUGUAGGAAUUGCAAUAAUAUCAAGUUUCCUCUCUAUGUGCUUAAAGUUUUGAAGUUAUGCUUGUUUUACCCUCCUAUGCUAGUUGAUUAUUGUUCCCACAAGUUGUUUGCCCACAAAAUCCCUAUGCAUAGGAAGUAUUUUAGACUUAAAUGUGCUAGUCAUAUUCUUCUUGAUGCUCUCUUUAUGUUUCAAUUCUUAUCCUUUAUGUGAGCAUCAUUGAAAUCAUCAUGCCUAGCUAGGGGCGUUAAACGAUAGCGCUUGUCGGGAGGCAACCCAACUUUAUUUUUGUUCCUUACUUUUUGCUCCUGUUUAGUAAUAAAUAAUUUAUCUAACCUCUGUUUAUAUGUGGUUUUAUGCUUUUAAUUAGUGUUUGUGCCAAGUAGAACCUUUGGGAAGACUUGGGGAAAGUCUUGUUGAUCAUGCUCUAAAAAACAGAAACUUUAGCGCUCACAAGAAUUGCUGCCAUUUUUAUUUGGAGAGUGCUAUUUAGUUAAUUAUUUUUGAAGAUGAUUAAUAGAUAAAUUCCUCAGGUCCAUAAAUUUAUUUGAGAAUUUUAUGAGUUCCAGAAGUAUACUUUUGAUCCAUAUUACUACAGACUUUUCUGUUUUUGACAUAUUCUGUUUUUCAUGUGUUGUUUACUUAUUUUGAUGAAUCUAUGGCUAGUAAAAGAGUUUAUAAACCAUAGAGAAGUUGGAAUACAGUAGGUUUAGCACCAAUAUAAAUAAAUAAUGAGUUCAUUACAGUACCUUGAAGUGGUGAUUUAUUUUCUUAUACGGAGCUUACGAGUUUUCUGUUAAGUUUUGUGUUGUAAAGUUUUCAAGUUUUGGGUAAGGAUUCGAUGGACUAUGGAAUAAGGAGUGGCAAGAGCCUAAGCUUGGGCAUGCCCGAAGCACCCCAAGGUAAUAUUCAAGGACAACCAAAAGCCUAAGCUUGGGGAUGCCCCGGAAGGCAUCCCCUCUUUCGUCCUCGUUCAUCGAUAACUUUACUUGGAGCUAUAUUUUUAUUUACCACCUGAUAUGUGUUUUGCUUGGAGCAUCAAUCUAUUUUGUUAGGAUUUGCUUGCUGUUAUUUAUAACAAUGUUUUGCAUCUUUUAUUUCAAUAAAAGUGGCAUUGAUAGCCUUUACUAUGCCUAUGUUACAAGAAUACAUGUUGCUGUUUGAAAACAGAAAGUUUACCACUGUUGCAAUAAUUCCCUAGAAAAGUCAGAAUGUGAUAAAAUGUUGAAACCUUUUGCAUAUUAAGCUCUGAUAAAUUUAAUACAGUGGGAAUUUUCUUUCAUAAUUUUUGGAGGUAGGGAAGUAUGGAUGUUGCUGCAUUCUUUACAGACUAUCCUGUUUAGGCAGAUUGCUGUUAUGUUUGCAUUGUUUGCAUAUGUUUGCUUCUUUAAUGAUUCUUUUUGAGGAUAGGACUAUUAAAUAUGCAGAGAAAUUUAGUAUGAAAUGUUGAAUAAUAAUUUUAGUGAUUUGCUACAGUAAAGUAUGAUAAGGUUUUGGCAAUGGUUUAUACUAACUUAUCUCACGAGUCCUUGUUGAGUUUUGUGUGGAUGAAGCUUUUGAGAUUUAGGGAGACCUUGAUAUGAGAGGAAUUAAGGAGACACAAAAGCUCAAGCUUGGGGAUGACCAAGGCACCCCAAUAUAAUACUUCAAGAAGUCUCAAGCAUCUAAGCUUGGGGAUGCCCUGGUUGGCAUCCCACCUUUCUUCUUCAACAAUUAUCGGUUAGUUUCGGUUGAUCCUAAGUUUUUACUUCUUCACAUGAUGUUUGCCAUUCUUAGAAUGUCAUUUUAUUUUGCUUUGCUUGCUAUUUGAAUAGAAUACCAAGAUCUGAAAUUAUUAAAUGUUAGAGAUUCUUCACAUAGUUGCAUAAUUAUUCGACUACUCAUUGAUCUUCACUUAUAUCUUUCGGAGUAGUUUGUCGAUGCUCUAGUGCUUCACUUAUAUCUUUUAGAGCAUGGUGGUAGUUUUAUUUUAUAGAAAUAGAUGAACUCCCAUGAUUCACUUAUAUCAUUUUGAGAGUUUUAAAUAGCAUGGUAAUUUGCUUAAAUAAUCCUAAUAUGCUAGGCAUCCAAGAAUAGUAAAAACUUUCAUAUAGAGUAUUGAAUACUAAGAGAAGUUUGAUGCUUGAUGAUUGUUUUGAGAUAUGGAGGUAAUAAUAUCAAAGUCGUGCUAGUUAAGUAGUUGUGAAUUUGAGGAAUACUUGUGUUGAAGUUUGCAAGUCCCGUUGCAUGCACGUAUGGUAAACGUUGUGUAACAAAUUUGAAACAUGAGGUGUUAUUUGAUUGUCUUCCUUAUGAGUGGCGGUCGGGGACGCGCGAUGGUCUUUUCCUACCAAUCUAUCCCCCUAGGAGCAUGCGCGUAGUGCCGAGGUUUUUGAUGACUCAUAGAUUUUCGCAAUAAGUAUGUGAGUUCUUUAUGACUAAUGUUAAGUCCAUGGAUUAUAUGCACUCUCACCCUUCCAUCAUUGCCAGCCUCUUCGGUACCGUGCAUUGCCCUUUCUCACAUUGAGAGUUGGUGCAAACUUCGCCGGUGCAUCCAAACCCCGUGAUAUGAUACGCUCUAUCACACAUAAACCUCCUUAUAUCUUCCUCAAAACAGCCACCAUACCUACCUAUUAUGGCAUUUCCAUAGCCAUUCCGAGAUAUAUUUCCAUGCAACUUUCCAUCAUUCCGUUCAUCAUGACACAUUCAUCAUUGUCAUAUUGCUUAGCAUGAUCGUGUAGUUGACAUAGUAUUUGUGGCAAAGCCACCGUUCAUAAUUCUUUCAUACAUGUCACUCUUGGUUCAUUGCAUAUCCUGGUACACCGCCGGAGGCAUUCAUAUAGAGUCGUCUUUGUUCUAGUAUCGAGUUGUAAUCAUUGAGUUGUAAAUAAAUAGAAGUGUGAUGAUCAUCAUUAUUAGAGCAUUGUCCCAAGUGAGGAAUAAAUAAAUAAAGAGAAAGGCCAAAGAAAGAGAAGGCCCAAAAAAAGGCCAUAAAAAAGAGAAGGCCCAAAAAAUGAGAGAAAAGGAGAGAAGGGACAAUGUUACUAUCCUUUUACCACACUUGUGCUUCAAAGUAGCACCAUGAUCUUCAUAGUAGAGAGUCUCUCAUGUUAUCACUUUCAUAUACUAGUGGGGAUUUUUCAUUAUAGAACUUGGCUUGUAUAUUCUAACAACGGGCCUCCUCAAGUGCCCUAGGUCUUCGUGAGCAAGCAAGUUGGAUGCACACCCACUUAGUUUCUUUUGUUGAGCUUUCAUACAUUUAUAGCUCUAGUGCAUCCGUUGCAUGGCAAUCCCUACUCCUUGCAUUAACAUCAAUCGGUGGGCAUCUCCAUAGCCCAUUGAUUAGCCUCGUUGAUGUGAGACUUUCACCUUUUUGUUUUCUCCACAUAACCUCCUCAUUAUAUUCUAUUCCACCCAUAGUGCUAUAUCCAUGGUUCGCGCUCAUGUAUUGCGUGAAAGUUUAUGAGUUUGAGAUUACUAAAGUAUGAAACAAUUGCUUGGCUUUUCAUCGGGGUUGUGCAUGAUGAGAGCAUUCUUGUGUGACGAAAAUGGAGCAUGACUAAACUAUAUGAUUUUGUAGGGAUGAACUUUCUUUGGCCAUGUUAUUUUGAGAAGACAUAAUUGCUUUGUUAGUAUGCUUGAAGUAUUAUUAUUUUUAUGUAAAUAUGAACUUUUAUCUUGAAUCUUUCGGAUCUUAAUAUUCAUGCCACAAUUAAGAAGAAUUACAUUGAAAUUAUGCCAAGUAGCACUCCGCAUAAAAAACUCUUUCUUUUAUCAUUUACCUACUCGAGGACGAGCAAGAAAGAAGCUUGGGGAUGCUUGAUACAUCUCCAACGUAUCCGUAAUUUUUGAUUGCUCCAUGCUAUGUUAUCUACUGUUUUGGGCAAUAUUGGGCUUUAUUAUCCACUUUUAUAUUAUUUUUGGGACUAACCUAUUAAUCGGAGGCCCAGCCCAGAAUUGCUGUUUUUUUGCCUAUUUCAGUGUUUCAAAGAAAAGGAAUAUCAAACAGAGUCGAAACGGAACGAAAUCAACUGGAGAAGUUAUUUUUGGAAGGAAAGCUACCGGAUGGACUUGGACCCCAUGUCAGGAGCCAAGGGAGGUGCUCACGAGGGUGGGGGGCGCCCCCCCUAAGGCGCGCCCCCUGCCUCAUGGGCCCCCAAAGCUCCACCGACGUACUUCCGGCACCCAUAUAUACUCACGUACCCUAAAACUUCCAGAACAGACAAUAGAUCGGGAGUUCCACCGCCAGAGGCCUCCGUAGCCACCGAAAGCCAAUCUAGACCCGUUCCGGCACCCUGCCAGAGGGGGCAAUCCCUCUUCGGUGGCCAUCUUCAUCAUCCCGGUGCUCUCCAUGACGAGGAGGGAGUAGUUCUCCCUCGGAGCUGAGGGUAUGUACCAGUAGCUAUGUGUUUGGUCUCUCUCUCUCUCUCUCUCGUGUUCUUGAGGUGAUACGAUCUUGAUGUAUCGCGAGCUUUGCUAUUAUAGUUGGAUCUUAUGUUUCUCCUCCCCUCUUCUCUCUUGUAAUGAAUUGAGUUUCCCCUUUGAAGUAAUCUUAUGGGAUUGAGUCUUUAAAGAUUUGAGAACACUUGAUGUAUGUCUUUCCGUGCAUAUCUGUGGUGACAAUGGUAUACCGCGUGAUUCACUUGAUGUAUGUUUUGGUGAUCAACUUGCGGGUUCCGCCCAUGAACCUAUGCAUAGGGGUUGGCACACGUUUUCGUCCCGAUUCUCCGGUAGAAACUUUGGGGCACUCUUUGAGGUCAUUUGUGUUGGUUGAAUAGAUGAAUCUGAGAUUGUGUGAUGCAUAUCGUAUAAUCAUACCCACGGAUACUUGAGGUGACAUUGGAGUAUCUAGGUGACAUUAGGGUUUUGGUUGAUUUGUGUCUUAAGGUGUUAUUCUAGUACGGACUCUAGGGCUGUUUGUGACACUUAUAGGAAUAUCCCAACGGAUUGAUUGGAAAGAAUAACUUUGAGGUGGUUUCGUACCCUACCAUAAUCUCUUUGUUCGUUCUUCGCUAUUAGUGACUUUGGAGUGACUCUUUGUUGCAUGUUGAUGGAUAGUUAUGUGAUCCAAUUAUGAUAUUAUUGUUGAGGGAACUUACACUAGAGAAAGUAUGAACCCUAGGCCUUGUUUCAACGCAUUGCAAUACCGUUUACGCUCACUUUUAUCAUUAGUUACCUUGCUGUUUUUAUAAUUUCAGAUUACAAAUACCUUUAUCUACUAUCCAUAUACCACUUGUAUCACCAUCUCUUCGCCGAACUAGUGCACCUAUACAAUUUACCAUUGUAUUGGGUCUGUUGGGGACACAAGAGACUCUUUGUUAUUUGGUUACAAGGUUGCUUGAGAGAGACCAUCUUCAUCCUACGCCUCCUACGGAUUGAUAAACCUUAGGUCAUCCACUUGAGGGAAAUUUGCUACUGUCCUACAAACAUCUGCACUUGGAGGCCCAACAACGUCUACAAGAAGAAGGUUGUGUAGUAGACAUCACAUAUCAUCUACGCAUAGACCUGGCUCAGAUGCCACUGUUGGGGAAUGUAGCAUGCAAUUUCAAAAAUUUCCUACGAUCAUACAAGAUCUAUCUAGGAGAUGCAUAGCAACAAGAGGGGGAGAGUGUGUCCACAUACCCUCAUAGACCGAGAGCGGAAGCGUUAGUUUAAUGCGGUUGAUGUAGUCGAACAUCUUCUCGAUUCAACUGAUCAAGUACUGAACGUACGACACCUCCGAGUUUUGCACACGUUUAGCUCGAUGACGUCCCUCGAACUCUUGAUCCAGCAAAGUGUCGAGUGAGAGUUUCGUCAACACGAUGGCGUAUUGACGGUGAUGGUGAAGUGAUCCGUGCAGGGCUUUGCCUAAGCACUACAACAAUAUGACCGGAGGCGUAAACUAUGGAGGGGAGCGCAGCACACGGCUAACAAUGUUUGUUGUGUGUUCUAGUGGUGCCCCCUCAUAUAUAUAGGUUGGAGGGGAGGAGAGGCAGCCAAGGGGGCUCCCCAAGUAGGAGGAAUCCUACUUGGGAACCUCCCAAUUCAGCCUCCCCCCUUUCCUAUUCCUAUUCGGAGUAGGAAGGGAAGACGGGGAAGGGGGAAUCCUAUUCCCUUUUUCCUUUCCUCCUUCCCCUUUCCUUCUCCAAUUUGGCCAACCCAUAUGGGAGGGGCACACCAGACCCUUUGUGGCUGCCGUGUUCCCCUCUUGGCCCAUAAGGCCCAUAUAGUUUGCCGAGGGUAGCCCGGAAGCCCUUCUGGUUAACCGAUACGUACCCGGUACCCCCGGAACACUUCUGGUGUCCAAAUACUAUCGUCCUAUAUAUGAAUCUUUACCUCUGGACCAUUUCGAGACUCCUUGUCAUGUCCGUGAUCUCAUUCGGGACUCUGAACAACAUUCGGUCACCAAAUCACAUAACUCAUAUAAUACAAAAUCAUCAUCGAACGUUAAGUGUGCGGACCCUACGGGUUGGAGAACUAUGUAGACAUGACCGAGACACCUCUCCGGUCAAUAGCCAAUAGCGGAACAUGGAUGCUCAUAUUGUUUCCCACAUAUUCUAUGAAGAUCUUUGUCGGUCGUACCGUAAUGACAACAUAUGUUAUUCCCUUUGUCAUCGGUAUGUUACUUGCCCGAGAUUCGAUUGCCGGUAUCUUCAUACUUAGUUCAAUCUCGUUAUCGGCAAGUCUAUUUACUCAUUCCGUAAUGCAUCAUCCCACAACUGACUCAUUGGUCACAUUGCUUGCAAGGCUUAUCAUGAUGUGCAUUACUGAGAGGGCCCAGAGAUACCUCUUUGAUAGUCGAAGUGACAAAUCCUAAUCUCGAUCUAUGCCAACCCAACAAACGCCUUCGGAGAUACCUGCAGAUCAUCUUUACGAUCACCCAGUUACGUUGUGACGUUUGAUAGCACACAAGGUAUUCCUCUAGUAUUCGGGAGUUGCAUAAUCUCAUAGUUAAAGGAAUAUGUAUAAGUCAUGAAGAAAGCAAUAGCAAUAAGACUUAACGAUCAUUAUGCUAAGCUAACGGAUGGGUCGUACUCGAGUGCAGUACAGCCAUAGAGUAGGUGCUCAUGUUACCGUUUGAGAGGCAGACGACGACAAGCUCGAGGUGCUUCAGUCGUGGUAGAAUAAGAGCGGGCGUGUCAUUAAGGGGUGGGGGGGGGGAAUGGCAGUUCCUGAACUGGGCGACGCGCAGGAUGGGCGCGAGGCGGAGUGCAAACGUUGGCAGUGACCGCAUAUGCCCAUCAUCAAAAGUUAGCUCCUCGAGCUGAUCUAGGGCGGGGGAUCAGAACCAGUCGUCAAGCUUGGCUCGGUCCUUGCCGUUGGAACGGAACCUGCCCAUUCUAAGGCCUUUGGUUGGGCCAAGGUGACUGAGGGAGUUCUAGAUUAGGGGGGUCCUCGGACAGCCGGACUAUAUACUUUGGUCGGACUGUUGGACUAUGAAGAUACAAGAUUGAAGACUUCGCCCCGUGUCCGGGUGGGACUCUCCUUUGCGUGGAAGGCAAGCUUGGCAAUUCGGAUAUGUUGAUCUCCUCCCUUGUAAUCGACUCUGUGUAACCCUAGCCCUUCCGGUGUUUAUAUAAACCAGAGGGUUUAGUCCGUAGGACAACAACAAUCAUACCAUAGGCUAGCUUCUAGGGUUUAGCCUCUCCGAUCUCGUGGUAGAUCAACUCUUGUAAUACUCAUAUCAUCAAGAUCAAUCAAGCAGGCAGUAGGGUAUUACCUCCAUUGAGAGGGCCCGAACUUGGGUAAACAUUGUGUCCCCCGCCUCCUGUUACCAUCCGCCUUAGACGCACAGUUCGGGACCCCCUACCCGAGAUCCGCCGGUUUUGACACCGACAUUAGUGCUUUCAUUGAGAGUUCCACUAUGUCGUCAUGAUAAGGCCCGAUGGCUCGUCUUGUUGUCAGGGACAACGUUACCUCCGGGGGAGCCCUGGCUGUAGGCCAAACCCUCCGAUUAGGCGGCUUCGUCGUGACCGCCCCCGUCGCGCCGACGAUGACUUCUCGGGUCAUCAAAAACAACCUCCACGUUGGCUCGGGAUUCACCGAGCAGAUGGAUCCAAUGGAGCUCUCUUAUUUGAACGAGCUCUUGGAUCGCAUCGCCGCCUUGGGAGUCGCUACGGACUAUGAUCGGAUCGGGCUUAAACCCGACCAAAGGGAAAUUAACUCUCCGCCGGUUACCCAUCAGGUAGCGGUGGCGGAGGAGUGAUGCAACGAUUCUUCCUCUAUUUUGAGGACAAACUAUGUCCGGAUUCUCGAGCUCCCUGAGCCGGAUACCCGUCUACGGGAGGACAUGGCCCAAGCUUCGAACCUGGAAUCGAACAACGGGCUAGUACCGUUGGGCAACGUCCCAGAGCCCGAACUACCAAGCUCGGAAACUCCUUUGGGUCUCAGACCAGGAUAGGGUUUGGACUUAAAUCUACCCACCCACCCUCACAUAAGUGAUCUUUCCCAUAUUAGACAAGAGCCCCAAGAGACAGUACAUCACUAUUGGGCCAGAUUCCUCCUUGCAAUAAGCAAGGUGAAGGACUGUUGCGAGGAAGACGCAAUUUCAUUCUUUUGCAAAAAUUGCACGGACAAGGGAAUCCUCAACGCCAUAAGUCACCGUGAUAUAACACACUUCGCUGACUUGGCGUCCAUAGCACGGAAGUACUAUGCUAUGGAAAGCACUUGGAAAACCCAAACACAAUUCUGGGAUCCUCCGACUCUAACUAAACCCUCUAUCCAAACUAAAAGGGUGUACUCUCGUAAGUCACCCAAUACAAUUACAAAGAAGCCAAAACCCACUACAGGGCGCGGAACCGUAUUGGAGGGAUGGCUCAAUGGGCCAUGCAAAAUUCAUAGUAUAUCGGAUACCAUGCCAACAGACAGCCUUAGAGCAUGUUGGAUACUCCGGCAGGUGGCCAGGAGCGGCAAGGAUCUCCUUGUCAACAAUACCGCAGAGCACCCUCUCACGGAAAAUAACAAUACAGUACUGACAGUCUUCGAGAUUUUUGCCUCAAACAAUAGGCGCAAGCGGGCACUUCGCAGCCUUGCCGAAGUCUGCCACGUUGCAACGAUAAAUGCAUGGAACGACACGGCCAUAACCUUCAAUGCCAGUGACGAACCUCAAUUCUGCACAACCCGAGCUCUAGCCACUUUGGUCCUUAGUCCAAUUGUGGACGGCUUCCGGCUUACUAAAGUACUCAUGGACGGUGCCAGCGGAUUAAACCUCAUCUAUGAGGAGACUCUUAGAAAAAUGGAAAUAGACAAGAGCCGCAUUGAGCAAAGCAGCACGACCUUCAGAGGAAUCAUCCCUAGCCGGGAGGCACGAUGUGCGGGAAAAAUCACACUAGAUGUGGUAUUCGGCACGCCGGGGAAUUACAUGUCCGAAGAAAUCACAUUCCAAGUGGCCCCGUUUAGCAGCGGAUACCACACCCUUCUAGGGCGAGAGGCAUUCACGAUCUUCCAAGCUAUACCCCAUUAUGGGUACAUGAAGCUCAAGAUGCCCGGGCCCAAUGGAAUCAUCACUCUAGCUAGUGAUCCGGACAUAGCACUCUACGCCGAAAUCGAAGCAUUAUCCGAAGCCCUCGCGGCCAAAGAACUAACUGCGUUGCACUCUAUAGUGGACAGGGACGACAUGAUACUCGACAAAAGACCCAAGUCCACCUCCUUUAAACCAACGGACAAAAUAGUCAAAUUCCAGGUCCACCCAACGGACCCUACAAAAACAUCAUCCAUCGGGGCACAGCUGAACCCCACAACAGACGCCACUGCGGGAGUUCUUACGCGAGAAUUGGGACAUCUUCGCUUGGCAUCCUUCAGAUAUGCCAGGCAUACCACGCAGGCUGGUCGAGCAUAGCCUAAACAUUCUAAAGGGAUACAAGCCGGUCAAGCAAACUCUUCGGUGUUUCUCCGAACCCAAGCGACAAGCCAUGGGAGAAGAACUAGCCAAGUUACUCGAGGCUGCAUUCAUUAGAGAAAUAAAACACCCGGACUGGCUAGCAAACCUGGUGAUGGUACCAAAGAAGGACAAAUCCUGGCGCCUAUGUGUCGAUUUUAAGGACCUUAACAAGGCUUGCCCAAGGAUCCCUUCCCCCUCCCCCGCAUCGAUCAAAUUAUCGAUGCUACCGCGGGACACGACUCGUUGUGUUUCCUCGACGCAUACUCCAGAUACCAUCAAAUCAAGAUGGCGGAGCCCGAUCAAGCCGCAACGGCAUUCAUUACUCCAUACGCCCCCUUCUGUUUCAACACCAUGCCUUUCGGGCUCAAAAACGCCGGUGCGACCUAUCAUCGCAUGAUUUAGACAUGCCUGGAAGCACAAAUCGGCAAAACAGUGGAGGCAUACAUAGACGAUGUGGUAAUUAAAACCAGACACGUCGAAUCUUUGAUAGACGACUUGAGGCUCACGUUCGACAAUCUCCGAUCAUAUGACAUUAAGCUCAAUCCGGAAAAAUGCGUUUUCGGCGUACCCACCGGAAAGCUCUUGGGCUUCAUCGUUUCCAACAGAGGAAUUGAAACGAAUCCGGCUAAAAUCCAAGCUCUGUCAUAGUUGUCUAUCCCAACAAACCUCAAGCAAAUCCAGAAAUUAACUAGAUGCGUGGCUGCCUUAAGCCGCUUUAUCUCCCGAUUGGGAGAAAAGGCAUUACCUCUUUAUCGCCUUCUUCGGCACACCAAACACUUCGAGUGGAGGACGCGGCUACGGCCGGAUUGGAAGAAAUAAAAGCUGCCUUGGCCUGCAACCCAAUCUUGGCCGCGCCAAAUAUCGGUGAACCAAUGUUGUUAUAUAUAGCGGCAACACACCAGGUUGUAAGCGCAGUGCUCGUCGUCGAACGAGAAACGGACGGACAUAAGUUCCCGCUUCAAAAGUUGGUAUACUACGUAUCUACUAUCCUCACUCCAUGCAAAUCCUGGUACCCACAUUAUCAAAAGAUAGCAUACACGGUCUUCAUGGAAUCCCAAAAACUACGACACUACUUUCAAGAGUGUUCAAUUACAGUGGCCUCCGAGGUUCCACUCAACGACAUUAUAAACAACCGCGAUGCCACGGGCCGGAUUGCUAAUGGGCUAUUGAGCUCCUCCCGUUCAACAUAUCAUACAAACCACGACGAGCCAUUAAGUCACAAUUACUGGCUGAUUUCGUUGCCGAAUGGACAGAAGCUGAACUCCCUAAAGAAUACGGCGCGUACUCCAAUUGGAUCAUGCACUUCGGGGGCUCUAAAGUGCUGGCGGGUCUGGCAGCAGGCGUCGUCCUGACAUCCCCAACCGGAGAUACAGUCCAAUACGUACUCCAAAUAUUAUACACAGAUUCCAACAACGCAACCGAAUAUGAGGCCCUGUACCUGUUGCAUGGUCUCCGGAUGGCAGUCUCCAUGGGCAUUCAACACCUAGAGGUGCGUGGGGAUUCGAACCUCGCAAUAUCUCAAAUAAAUGGAGAUUUUGAUGCCAAGGACCCAAAAAUGGUGGCUUAUCGCAAUGUCGUCCUCAAAAUGUCAGCUCGAUUCGAGGGGCUCGAAUUCCACCAUGUGGUCCGAGAAAACAAUCAGGCGGCGGAUAUCCUCGCCCGAAUCGGUGCUAAGCGUGACCCUGUCCCACCUAAUAUCUUCUUGGAAAGGCUGUUUAAGCCAUCCGUGGUGUGGGAAGGGGAGACCGGCAACAAUAGUACGGAUCUGUCCACAAGACCAGACCCCGAACACUCUGACGUAAUUGGAGGCUCCGCCACCGAGAUAACACCUUCGGCCCACGUGAUUAUGGCUGUCAUCGCGUCGUGGACAGAACCCUUCUUGGCCUACCUAAAUAGGCAAGAACUCCCUGAGGACCAAAACGAGGCACGUUGCAUUGUGCGGUGGUCAAAAGCCUACAAGGUCCAUGAGGGAGAGCUUUAUAAGAAAAGCGCUAACGGAGUACUGCAAAGGUGCAUCUCCGAGGAGGAAGGACGACAACUUUUGGCAGAGAUUCAUGCUGGACUCGGCGGCCAUCACGCUGCAGCUUGGGUCCUUGUAAGUAAGGCCUUCCGUACAGGUUUCUACUGGCCGACAGCUCGAGCAGACGCACAGGACCUCGUUCAACAUUGCGUCGGUUGCCAGCUCUUUGCAAACCAAAGCCAUAUGCCACCUACCACCCUCCAAACAAUCCCCAUUACUUGGCCCUUCGUGGUCUGGGGGCUUGAUAUGGUCAGACCCCUUAAAGGAGGAAGCCAUAAGAAAAAGUACCUAUUGGUCAUAGUGGAUAAAUUCACCAAAUGGAUAGAGGCCAAACCAGUUAAAACGGUCGAAUCUGGACCGGUGAUAGAUUUCAUAUCCGGGGUUGUACACCGCUACGGUGUCCCCCACAGUAUUAUCACCGAUAACGGCUCGAACUUUAUAGUCGAUGAGGUAAAAACUUGGUGCGGCAACAUGGGCAUUAAGCUCGAUUAUGCAUCCAUCUAUCACCCUCAAACUAACCAUCAAGUCGAACGAGCAAAUGGUCUUAUAAUGAGCGGCAUUAAACCCAGACUAGUGCGGUCCUUGAAGGAAUCAGAUACACACUGGGUCGAGGAGCUCGACUCCGUACUAUGGGGGAUGCGGACCACGCCAAAUCGCACUACCGGAUACACACCUUUCUUUAUGGUGUACGGCGCAGAGGCAGUACUGCCCUAUGACAUCAUUCAUGACUCACCUCGCGUGCGCAUGUACGAAGAGAAAGAAGCUGAGCUAGAUCGGCAGGACAGUUUGGACGCCCUGGAGGAGGAGCAUGACGUGGCAAAAGCCCGAUCUGCAUUCUAUCAACAAUAGGCUCAACGAUAUCAAAGCAGAGAAGUACGGGCCAAAACUUAUAAUGUUGGCGAACUCGUUCUAUGCCUACGAGAGAAGAAAAAGGACAAGCUCAAACCCAAAUGGGAAGGUCCCUUUGUUAUUGACAAAGUUCUGACCGGUGGAGCGUACCAUCUGCGGGAUGCAUUGGGCAAUCGACUCGAGCCAAACCCAUGGAACGCGGCCAGACUCCGAAGGUUCUACGCCUAGCGCCAGACUCUGUGUUCGUCUCCUUACCUCCAUCAAUUUUUUAUAUAUUUGUUAUCUAUAUUUUUCUGUCUUUCUUCCUUUUCUUCACGGACUUCAAAGGUUAAAAUGUGUCUUGACUGCACAAUUUGUACACGCUAAGCGCGCUCAUUAUACCUGGGGACUUCUUAUACAGAAGCUUAAUAUAAUUAUGAUCUGAGCUCUAUGCGUGCCGCACAUGUGUUAUUUUUACACAUGCACCUUUCUUUGCCAUUAUAUGCAUCAAUAUGACUUAAGUUUUGGCCAAGCUAGGUUGCCUGGCUCUUGUGUUUAUGCCCUACGUUCCUGUUAAUUUGGCUAGGGCAUAAGGGGAGCACCUCUGCGAUUGUUACUGUCGGGUCAGCCGGACGUGUACUCAGACUGGGUGAAGCCGAAAGCUAGCAUUCUUAAGGGAAUAUUCGGUCGGUGAACAAAGGAUGACUUUUUACUUAUUAUAAUACAUACCCCCAGAUGUUUAUAUCUUGCGUCUCUUGUCGCAGUUCGUACAUGCACAUUAAUGCAUGCGUACCCAGGGAAAGGAACCCUUAACGGAACUAUUCUCCCUGGAAGACGUUUCUUACUAUCCAUGUAAUAUAACAUAACCAGUUGGGUACUUGUCUGUUGAUGACCCACAAGUAUAGGGGAUCUAUGGUAGUCCUUUCGAUAAGUAAGAGUGUCGAACCCAACGAGGAGCAGAAGGAAAUGAUAAGCGGUUUCCAGCAAGGUAUUCUCUGCAAGUACUGAAAUAAGUGGUAACAGAUAGUUUUGUGAUAGGAUAAUUUCUAAUGAGCAAUAAGUAACAAAAGUAAAUAAAGUGCAGCAAGGUGGCCCAAUCCUUUUUGUAGCAAAGGACAAGCCUGGACAAACUCUUAUAUGAUGCAAAGCGCUCCCGAGGACACAUGGGAAUAUCGUCAAGCUAGUUUUCAUCAUGUUCAUAUGAUUCGCGUUCGGUACUUUGAUAUAUUGGUAUGUGGGUGAACCGGUGCUUGGGUACUGCCCUUACUUGGACAAGCAUCCCACUUAUGAUUAACCUCUAUUGCAAGCAUCCGCAACUACAACAAAAGUAUUAAGGUAAACCUAACCAUAGCAUGAAACAUAUGGAUCCAAAUCAGCCCCUUACGAAGCAACGCAUAAACUAGGGUUUAAGCUUCUGUCACUCUAGCAACCCAUCAUCUACUUAUUACUUCCCAAUGCCUUCCUCUAGGCCCAAAUAAUGGUGAAGUGUCAUGUAGUCGAUGUUCACAUAACACCACUAGAGGAGAGACAACAUACAUCUCAUCAAAAUAUCGAACGAAUACCAAAUUCACAUGACUACUAAUAGCAAGACUUCUCCCAUGUCCUCAGGAACAAAAGUAACUACUCACAAAGCAUAAACAUGUUCAUAAUCAGAGGGGUAUCAAUAUGCAUAUAGGAUCUGAACAUACGAUCUUCCACCAGUUAAACCAACUAGCAUCAACUACAAGGAGUAAUUAACACUACUAGCAACCUACUAGCACCAAUCCCGGACUUGGAGACAAGAAUUGGAUACAAGAGAUGAACUAGGGUUUUGAGAUGAGAUGGUGCUGAUGAAGAUGUUGAUGGAGAUUGCCCUCUCACGAUGAGAGGAGUGUUGGUGAUGAUGAUGGCGAUGAUUUCCCCCUCCGGGAGGGAAGUUUCCCCAGCAGAACAGCUCCGCCAGAGCCCUAGAUUGGUUCCGCCAAGGUUCCGCCUCGUGGCGGUGGAGUUUCGUCCGAGAAGAUGGCUUAUGAUUUUUUUUCCCAUCGAAAGACCCCAUAUAGCAGAAGAUGGCCACCGGAGGGCCACCAGGGGGCCCACGAGGUAGGGGGGCACGCCUUGGGGGGUAGGGUGCUCCCCCCACCCUCGUGGGCAGGGUGUGGCCCCCCUGGUGAAGUUCUUGCUCUCAGUAUCUUUUAUAUAUUUGGAAAACAUCUUCCGUGAAGUUUUAGGACUUUUGGAGCUGUGCAUAAUAGGUCUCUAAUAUUUUCUCCUUUUCCAGCCCAGAAUCCCAACUGCCGGCAUUCUCCCUCUUUAUGUAAACCUUGUAAAAUAAGAGAGAAUGGACAUAAGUAUUGUGACAUAAUGUGUAAUAACAGCCCAUAAUGCAAUAAAUAUCGAUAUAAAAGCAUGAUGCGAAAUGGACGUAUGGUCUGUUCAAGCACUUAUCACCCCUACGCUUGGUUUCCACGCGUACCCCGGUUUUUACAUAACUGAGCGGGUAUUCGGAUACACUCCGGACUGUCGGGUCCGGAGGUCGAAGCGAAAAGGUCCGCCAUGAAAAAUGAUUUACAAUCCGGCUAGGGACAAUAUAUGUCACUCGAAGUACACAGUCACUUAGACUAACUAAAUUCUUCUUCUAUACCAUCGAACAGGCUGUCUAGCCUACAAUCCUGUUGGGAAUACUUUGCGGCUAAUUUCACCUGGUCAUACACCAAGCUGACGGUGAUCUCUUUCCCGUCAGGCCCUACAGGUCCGACCUCGGCCAUAUGGUUCGGGUCAGCCUUGGUAUAUCGAGUCUUCACCAUGGCCCAGGCUUCCCUUGCACCUUGUCGACAGGCAGAUAUCUUCCAUAAUUGGAAGCGCCGCUGCGCUCCCUUGAGUAUCUCUACAAGCUCCCCCAUGCUUCUUGGCACGGAGGCGGAUGGCCACAAGGCCUAGGCAAGGUCCUGCAUCACCUGCCGAACUUGUUCAUGCAGUUGUGAGAGCUCUGGUAGAAGAUCUCCCGCAGACCCGAGCAUCUCCUCUCCGGGACGGCCCGUCAGCAUACUUACAGAUAUAGCUCUGUUAUCUGGUUUCUUCACCGAGCUCUAUAGAAGUUCGCUCAAGCACUUACUGAAAAUGUCGCGUCGAAGCCUUUUAUUCUCCUUUACGGAGUCAGCCAGCUGGUUCCGAACAUCUUUCAGUUCAACAUCCAGUCGGGUAUUGGCAUCUUGGAGAUCAUUUUUCUCCCGCCUAACUUGUGUAAGCACACGCUCGCCAGCCUUCAGCUGUUGUUGAGCAUGUUACUCCUCCGGAUUCACUCCGGGAUCAUCUGCAGAAUCUAUCAAUUAGAUUAGCAUGCAAGCCAAAUAUUAACUGGUAUAUCUCGUUCUUUUCAAUAGGAACAAGUGUUACCAGAUGGGGCCUUCUUGGACUCCUCCAUUUUGGCAACUGUGACCCGUAGCUGGGCUUUGCACUCCUCCAGCUCUUGAGACAAUUGGGUAUUCUUCUCAGUAAGAACCUAUGUAAAUAAUGAUCCUUAAAUCAGUUGUGCCAACUGUUUCAAGUCUUAGGGGCUACUGGUAUAUAUAAUUAUCAGAUUUUCUUACCCAUAUAUCCUUUACAUACUGGUCUGUGGCUCUGAAAAGACCAUUUUGAGCAACUCAGAUGUACGCGUCCCCUGAGUUGAAGGCAUCAAACGCCUCUUCAGAAAAACCGGGGUCGCGGAGUACGGCCCGACGACCCUUGUGCUUCAUGGCACUCUCCACUUCGGAAUUUGUAGUGGACAGCCUAUCCGCAUCCUCGACAGGAGGAAUAUCCGGCGUUGUCCCCACGUUAGCAUCUGCCUCCAAGUCCGGAUCUAGAGCCCGGCUGGUGGAGGCAUGGCCGGCAGGCUCUCCGGAUACGGUCCGACGAGCGUUUUCCCGGUUUUGACCAUGGACGUUAUUAUAUUUUAAAGACAAUAACCACGAAGCAGGGUUCUUUUUCAUACCUCUGCGACGACAUCUCAGUCUUGACCGCCUUCUUUUUAAGCCUACCCAGUUUCGGUGCCCCUUGUUGGUGAGUCAGUGCAGGUUCGGCAUGGCGUCCCGAGGGCCUUCCCUGCAAGACAUCAUACAUGUGCGGUGGGUGAAGUGCGAAAAAGGGGAUCCUUCUCGGAAGUUGGGACUCCGGUUUUACUUACAUGCAAUGCAGUGAGCAGUCCAGGAUAAUCGGCGGUGAUGGCCACCAAGGCACCGUCGCGACUUAACUGAUAAAACAUCAUGUCGAUGAACUCCACGAAUAUGUCCGGAUCUUCUUCGAGUCCGGGAUCGAGGGCUAAAUCAGGGUCCUCUGGCUGUGGAGAUGGGCUGUGAAUCUCCCUCACAGCUUUUUGUAGUUCCUGCUAUGAAAUAGCAAGGUAAAUAUUUAAGACAAAGAAAGCGGGAAGGUUUGGAGUAAAAAGCAGCAGCUCACCCAGUUUGGGGGGUUGUACAUGGAGAAUCCAUCCCUCGCUUAAUACGGAUGAACUCCUCUUCCUCUCCCUUAUAUAAAUCAGACAAUAUUUUCGCCAGAGCGGCAGAGGAGUCCGGACCUUUACGGCUGCAACGGGUGGCAUCGUCUUCUCCAUUGAAGUGCCACAUGGGUUGUCCCCGAUAUUGAAGUGGCUGCACCCCCCGCAUUAUACAUAUUGACAUAACCUCGAUUAUUGUCAGUCCUGAUUCGACCAGUGUCUUUAUCCGGCUCAUCAGGUAAAGGACUUCUUUGUUAUCUUCCUCCUGGGGGCUCCGAGGGCGCCAGCUACGGCGUUUCUUCGAAGGGGCGUUGUUGAACUCAGGAAGGCCCAUCCAAAAUAGGGUUUGGGAGGGGAACAUCCUCCAUAUAAAACCACUCCGAAGGCCAGUCUUUAGAUGUCUUCUUUGGAGUACCGGACAGGUAUCCGGUCCCGGCGAUGCGCCAUAUUUUGGCUCUGCCCACUUGAAAUAUUGACCCCUUCUGUGUACGGGGCACGAGGCAGAAUAGCCUCUGCCAUAGCUUGAAAUGAGCUUCGCAGCCCAGAAACAGCUCGCAAAGGGCAACGUAGUCUGCGAUGUGUAAUAUGGAGGCGGGAGUAAAGUUAUGCAGCUGGAGGCCAUAGAACUCCAGGAGCCCACGGAGGAAUGGAUGGAUUGGAAAUCCGAGUCCCCUCAGUAAAUAAGGGACGAGGCAUACCCGCUCCCCUGUGGAUGGGUUGGGAAAGCUUUCCGCUUGCUCCCCGCCAUUAUAAGUGGCUAGUCCGGCUCAUACGGGGACCAUGUACGCAGGAGGGAGAAACCCCUGGGUCUGCAACUCUACUAGUUGGCUAUGGGGAAUAGAACACUUCUCCCAACUACCUGGCUUAUGGCUAUGGGGGCGGGAGGAGGAGCUGCGGUGGCCGGCCAUGAUGGGAUGGAUUUUUCCGGGCACGCUCCGAUGGAUACUCGCUGUGGGAAGGUGGUGUGAUCUAGAUCUGAAGAUCCCCGACUGUUUAAAUAGACGAUUCAUCUACCUGGUUAGGGUGGUAAAUGUAAAAACACCCCGACCUCUCGCAUUCGCUCGACAUGUGGAAGAUGGCCAUUAUUAAGGCACAGAAGCCGAGGAGUGCAACAUUCAUGGGAGGCCGAACACAACUCGUUACGACAGGUACUCAGGAUUUGGAGGAGAACCCGCCUUGCAAUGCUGAAGACAAUCUGCGCGCCGGACUCCGUCAUUGAAGCCUGGUUCGGGGGCUACUGGGGGAGUCCUGGAUUAGGGGGUCCUCGGACAGCCGGACUAUAUACUUUGGCUAGACUGUUGGACUAUGAAGAUACAAGAUUAAAGACUUCGUCCUGUGUCCGGGUGGGACUCUCCUUUGCGUGGAAGGCAAGCUUGGCAAUUCGGAUAUGUAGAUCUCCUCCCUUGUAACCGACUCUGUGUAACCCUAGCCCCUCCGGUGUCUAUAUAAACCGGAGGGUUUAGUCCGUAGGACAACAACAAUCAUACCAUAGGCUAGCUUCUAGGGUUUAGCCUCUCCGAUCUUGUGGUAGAUCAACUAUUGUAAUACUCAUAUCACCAAGAUCAAUCAAGCAAGAAGUAGGGUAUUACCUCCAUCGAGAGGGCCCGAACUUGGGUAAACAUUGUGUCCCCCGCCUCCUGUUACCAUCCGCCUUAGACGCACAGUUCGGGACCCCCUACCCGAGAUCCGCCGGUUUUGACACCGACAGUGACUGCCGAGGAUCUUGGAGAACGCAUCCAAACUUUUGCGAUAGCCAUGGCAGAGCUCGUGGGUGUCGAUGAGGUCGAGAGGGCUGGAGUUCCAUAGGGGGCACCACCGCCGGGAAAGGACGGUUGUCCGCACCCCAUAUUUGAUUGGGAGGAGGGAGAUGAUGACUCUCAACAUAUCAUCGGGGAGGCUAAUGAUGAAGUCUAGGUCUGCUGGAGUUGCUUGCAGUUCUAGCUCGCCCCGCCUCAGCUUGUUGGCAGCCCCCGUUCUCCACCUCUGGAGUCUCCUUGUCAGCGACGCUUUUUGAUAGAAAUGGGAGUACAGGGAAUAUUUAGUUAAAACAGGGCAAUAGAAAAGUGUAUUGGUAACUAGAAGUUAUUAGGUAGGAAUAUAGUAAGAAAAGGGAAUACCAAUUGGUUGCUUAAAUACUACACAAUUCAUUUGACAUUGCUGGGUAAGUCAACAUGCAGAUAGUUGAAAAGAAAACUUACUUCGAUCAAAGUCUGGACGGAUGAUUUUGUCGGGGAAGUUAGCAUAUCUCUCAUGACCAGGCCCUUUUAUGUGUAGUUCAAUUUUAGUGCCAGAUUUCAGUACAUAAAACUUAGAAAUUUCUUUCCAAAAGCCAGUGCCAAAAUAGGAGUCACCACGUUCAUCAAGUCUUACAAUAGCAAUGAUUGUAAAUCCAUGGUUUGUGCGUAGUAUGACAUCCGUGGAGCAUUGAUCUAUGUAAAGGGAAAAAAUGUGCACUACAUAGUCUGUUGCAUAGCAAGGGAUGUGCUCUAGAAAAUGGUAGGAUUGUUAAAGAAAAUAUGGUAACAUGCAAAUAUGGGCCCAAAUUGAAAGAACUGUACAUCAGUUGAAAUCAAAGGACAAAAGUCUAUCAUUAAACAGAUAGGGUAAACAUGAUGUCAUGGAAAUAUGAGAGUAAUCGAAAGAACAAUACAUCAUUAAUCUGCCUAAUAUAGAAAGAAGAGGGAGAAAAAAAAA
Molecule: long non-coding RNA, 77816 nt
Filed under: Triticum aestivum (bread wheat)
Lineage: Eukaryota; Viridiplantae; Streptophyta; Magnoliopsida; Poales; Poaceae
Description: long non-coding RNA (TAES_LNC014524)
Rfam family: MIR1120/MIR1122 microRNA precursor family (bases 52453-52578)
Source: RNAcentral